CGAAAUUUGACAUAAUUUUUGAAAUUUUGUGGAACAAUGACAUAUCACAGAAACAUACUUAAUUGAAGGCAAACUAUAGCAAUCCAGAAUUCAAUCUAGAUUGACGAAUCAGGAGUAAAGAUUAUAGUCUACCAAUCAUAACUUAGGUUCUACAUCCAGGCCAAUCCGUAGCAUAGUUUAACUACAUCCAAGAUCACAGCAAAAGAACAUCCAUCCAAAUGAAUUGUCCACAACUAGUCCUGGACAACAUUUCAUGCAUCCCACAAAAUAACAUUCAGAGUUCUCAUACACCACAAAAUGCAACCAGAAGCUUCCUUCUUCCAUUCUUGUGUCAUUUCUUCACUGGACAGCAACCUUGCGACCACAUACGAUGCUCCAAAUGCUUCUACAAAUGCCAAAAUGAUGGUGUAUUAAGUCAAUCAAUAUUACAAGGUAAAGUGGGCUGAUGCAAUCAUUUGGCAAUUUAUGAAGCUAUGAAUUAUUUGGAUUAAUUUCCACUACAAUGACAUUCCUCGUGGUUGUACGAAUGCUAGAAUUAGCAAUCUGUAGGUAAACUUGCAACGCCUAACCAAAUAUAAUACUAGUAACUUUGAAAAAAAAACAAACUUGCUAGCAUUCCUAACCAGGUCCAAUGAACUUAGAACUGUGUCAGCAAAAAGAAACAGUUAGCACGCCCCAUGCAACUUUCAGCAAACAAAAACCUUGCCAGAAAUGUUUGGGCAUUACCGAAAUGCGAGGAUUACUACAAUACUGAAACAGCUUACCUAUGAACUUACCUAUGAACUUACCUGUCAAUUGUAAAGGCUCGUCAAGUCCUUCAGCUUCGUGCUUUGCUUUCCUCGUCGAGACCUACGGCAGUUCAGCAAACCUCCAUCAUUUCUUUCCUCAACCUCGUUUCCAUCUUGGCUUGGUUGAUCUUUUUCAACUCGGGUAGUUGAAUCUUCUCCAUCAGCUUCACUUGCGCUAUCAUCUCCGCAUUCAUCCUCAUCAUCAAUGUCUAUGUACUCAUCUUCUUCUUCAUCAUCAUCACAAUCAAUGUAGUCAUCCUCAUCUUCUUCCAAUACUCUCUUCCUUUUCGUUCCAUUGCCCUUCCUUCCAAGAUGAGAGGAUUUCUUGCUUGAGUUAAGGCGACGUAUUUCCUCGAACACGGCGCUAGCAGCAUCAGAUCCAUCCAAGAUUACAUGUUCCUCAUCCUCAUUCAACCACUCCAUCAUUGGAUUAGCCUCAUCAAACAUGGUUGUAUUCAUCAUCAUUGCACAUGGAUCAACCUCCUUAUAUUUAUCAUUCUCUCUCACCCGGUCCUUGUCUUCUUCAGCACGUAUCUUCAAAGGUGUGAAAACAAAAUCAGUAAAUAACAGCAACGUAAACAACAAUGUUUUCUAAGAAAAUGGAGGAUCAUGGUCUCAACACACAAGAGAAUUUUAUACCUUCAAGUUGUGGCGAACGGAUACAAACUUGUGCAGCUUGCCAUAUAAUAGACGAUUCCUUUGUUUCGUGUGGACCAAGGCCCAAGCGCUCCAGUUCCUUUCACAUCCACUUGACGACACACAUUGGGAAACAAUUCUCAAGGCAUACUUCUGCAGAUUGGGAACGUCCCCUCCAAACUGAAACCACCACUCGGCUACCACCAAAAAACAAUGAGAUUAACGAGUUGCAAAUUGGAGGAAAGUGCGACUAAGGAUCUGCAAGCAUUGUAACUUACUUGGUGACAUUUUUUCUGCUGAAAUGUGUGCGACCCAUUGACCAAACCUUCCACGACAUUCCCUAAAAGCGCUGAUUUCAUAAAUGGCCAAAGCAGCACUAUCAGGGUCAGCUAUCUUCUCUAUCGCAACUGUUAGUGCAGAAGCGAAUUCCGGAAUAUUGCUCAGAUUGACCACAUAAUGUGUGUUUGGAUCAAGGACAGCAGCUGCAUAAGAAAAUAACAGAGGUUAUAAACCAUGAGAAAAAAGCAAGGUAAACAUUUAUUUUAGUAGUUUAUCACUACCUGCAACCAUUAGAGUAUCCUUUUCCAUGGCCUCAAUCCUAUUGGACACCUUGCUCAUGACUCUACGAAGCAUUUCUGACCCACCACCAAGACGAGAUUCCAAAGUUUGUACAGCUGUCAUCAUGCUCUUCUUGAAGCCAGACAAGGUGCAUUGCUUUUGAGUAUCAGCGUACCUAAGGGCUUUAUAAAGUGGCUCUAACAGAUUAAGAACCCACUCCAAGGCAGCCCACCACAUAUUACUAGAUAGUAAUGCCUCGGAAAACACAUAAUCAGCAUCCUUCCUCCAAAUACUUUUCUUCCAAUCAUCAGAUACCAUCCAUUUCCUAAAUUGAUCCUUCUUUUCAUGAUAACUCUCAAGGAACAUGAACACCGUACCAAACCGAGUGGCAUUGGGUUUUAUCAGUUCACCGCCAACAUUCUUUUUCAUGCUAUCAUGCAGGUUAUUGUGAUUAUGAAAAAACCUACAGAUUUGCUUGGCACUUUUAACUAUCACAUCAACUUCCGGAAACUUAGCAAUAUCUUUAAGCAUGAGGUUGAUUGUAUGGGCAGCACAUGGUUGCCAAACAAUAUGGUUGUACUCCGGUUGUUCUACAAGAGUUUUACAAGCUUUUUUAUAAUUUGAACCAUUGUCGGUUAUAAUUUGAACCACAUUCUCAUGUCCUAUCUCAUCAACAACAACCUUUUUAAUCUGUCUAUAGAUAAAUUCUGCAAAAUUUUACCACAAAAGUAUAAGUAACCAUAUUUAACAAGUAAAGAACGUAUAAACAUAAGCAACAGUAAUUAACAAGUACAAAAACAGAAAAGGAUGAGCAACCAAAAUCAACAAGUAAAAUUACAGAAAAGCACAAGUAGACAUAAUCAACAAGUAGAAAACGGAAAAUCAUAAGUAGACAUAAUUAACAAGAAAAAGAAAGCAUAAGUAACUAGAUUACCAUAGUUAACAAGUGAAAAACACUAUGCAAGAGAACGAAAUAAACAAUUUUCAUUUCAAUAGAAAACUAACCAGAAUUUUGAGUUUGACCAUAAGCAUCAAUGGAUUUAUGGAAAAACAUUUUUUCAUUGCAAUACACCAUGAAGUUGAUAACACUCAUGCCAGUCGGCCCAGUCCAUGAGUCACACAUCACGGUAACACCAAAGUUCUUCCAAUCUUGUUUGAAAAUCUUCAGCCACUCCACAGCUUCAUCAUAGUUCUUGUCCAGAUAUAUCCCAUCAAUCUCCUUGGCAGUUGGGAGAGGAAUUGGGCCAAGCUUUUGAGUGAUCUUCAUUGCUGCCCGAAAGUAUGGACAGUCAGCUUUCAGACCAGCAAUAUCAUUUGCGUGAAAUUUUUUUGCCCAAGAUUGGCCGAGUACAUCUCUUGACUCAAGAUCGAAAGAGGUGGUAAUCUUGGGCUGCAUUGAUACUUUGUUGCUCGAUAACUAGAUACGCUGAAUCAAGCCGGACCGCACCAUUUGCUCAGCAUCGAGCUAUUUUUCUUGCCACAGUCGUCGCCAUCUCGCCGUCGUCGUCGUCUCUUCGGUUUGCCCCGCACUCCCUAACCACGUCCACGAGCUCCGCGGUGAGCUUCUCCCCCGAUUCCCCCUUUCCCCCUUCGAUUUGUAUGCCGUAGGCCGCCAUCACCGUCGUGCCCGAACCCCCGCGUACGCGUACAUGUAGCUGCUGCUCCUGUGCUGUUGCUGUACGCGCGCGCUCGCGCGUGGCCUCGCCACGGCUUGCUGCUGCUCGCCUCACUGCACCUGUUGCUCUGCUUGUUGCGAGAUGCUGCCACCACGUGCUUCCCCAACACUCCUGCCGCCACUCGUGCCGUACGGUGCUGCUGGCUGCUUCUGCUAUUGCGCUCCGGCUGCCGCUACUAUCGCGCGCUCGACGUUACCCCGUCCGACCGUGACCCGUAGCGCCCUGACUGUGCCAAGUGUGCACACCCGCAGCCCCCAUUGCGACAUGCUGCUCCGCCUCCUACUUUACUGUGCUACCGCUGCUCCUUGCUACCUGCUGCUGCCGUUGUUUGUUGCUUGUCGCUGCUGCUCUGUCCUCCUGCUGGCUGUUGCUACUGCUGCAUGCAGGCUGCUGCUUCGUUGGCUGCUGCCUCCUGCUGCGCGAUGUUGGGCCAUUUUUUUUUGGCUUUUUUAAGAUUAUAGAAUAAGCUGUCCUCUAUCCAGCUUAUUCUAGAAGCCCAAUCAAAAAUAGUUUUUUAGAAGCUUAUUAGUCAAGUCUUAAUUAAUAGACUUCUCAAUAAAUAAAUUUGAUAGAACUUCUAAAAUAAGGCCCUGUUUAGAACAACACAGAUUAUAUAAUCUAUUUUGUCUUCAAACAUGACAGAUUAUGGUAUAGAUUAUAAAAACUAGAUCGACAGAUUAUUAAAAACUCAUAAUCUACUUUACAUCAGUUAAAAUCAGAUUAUGGAUUGCUAAUGACCAAUUACCCUUGUAAAGUUGGAGAUAAUUACAUUCCUAUCACCGUCACCCUCUUUUAAAAAAAAAAAGAGGACGGACAGGUCAUUAUGCAAUGUAUAACCUGAAUUAUAAUUUAUAUAAUCUGACAUUCAAACAUGCCUACGUAGAUUAUUUUUAUAAACCAGAUUAUAUAAUCUAUCUUCAUAAUCCAAAUUAUCAUAAUCUAUUGUGGUUUUAAACAAUGCCUAAGCUGGGUAGAAGAUAGUUUAUUUCAACUUAUUCUAGAAGCCAGUAAAAGAACUGACCCUAACACACAUCUGCAGCUGUUGCUGCCUUUGGUGCUUCGCUGCUGCUUGCCACUGCUGCCGCUGCUCUGCUGCCGCUGCUCUGCUAUGUUCUAGCUGUUGCUGUCCCUGCAGCUGCCACCAGCUCUCAAGCUCACCUCGGCCAUGUCCAUGGCCGUGUGCCUAGUGGCUGCUGUGCGUGUUAUGCAUAGCCAAGUGCACGUAUGUGCCUCUCGCACAUGUGGCCUGCCAAUUAAUUAGUGAUAAUAUAGUUUAGUUUAGUUUAGAUUAUUGUUUAGUUGGCCUGAUGUAUCUAUGACAUGUGGGCCACUCCCUGUUAGUUAACUCAACUAAAUUGACUUGAUAUCCUGAGUCAAUGACACCUGGGUCCUACGAGCCACUAUUCACUCGUUGACUAGUCAACGUUGCCUAUUGAAUGGGCAGUCAACAUGCCCCACAUGUCAUCCUCUCUGCCUAUAUACCCAUUGGGUACACUUAGCAUUUCCUUUUAAAUUUGAAUUUAAACAACUCUAUAAAAUAUUUAAAAACUUUGAAAAUUCAUAUAAAAUAAACCGGAACUCAGAUGGAAAUAUUUCAAACAUGAAAGUUGCCCAGAAAAAUCCUGCGAAUCCGGAUACGCUAUCCGUUCAUCUCUCAUACCCCUCUAACACGAUGAACAUGGAAAUUUGGUGUUAGGAUCACGUGUCCGGUAGAAGCCUCACACCCGGGAAAUAUCACCAGAUAUUUCCCCGCUCUGUCGGUGACACAUAGUAUUGUGUUAGCUCAUCCCUAGCACUGCUUUUUGCCAUGUCAUGCAUCGUGUUGCAUACUCAUGACCCACAAAUAUAGGGAUCAAUCAUAGUUCUUUCGAUAAGUAAAAGUGUCGAACCCAACGAGGAGCACAAGGAAAUGACAAGUGAUUUUCAGUGAGGUAAUUUCUGCAAGCACUGAAAUAGCGGAACAAGUUGUUUGACAGCAAGAUAGUUGUAACAAGUAACUAGUAGCAAGAAUAACAAUAAGUGCAGCAAGGUAGCCAAUUCCUAUUGUGGCAAAGGCAGAGCAUUCUUGAGGGCAUACGAGAAUUUCAUCUAGUCACUUUCACCAUGAUAGCUUAAUUCAUGUUCGAUAGUUUGGUAGUUUGAUAUGUAGGUGGACCGGUGCUUAGGUGCUCUUCUUACUUGAACAAACCUCCUACUUAUGAUUAACUCCAUCGCAAGCACCCGCAACUACGAGAAAAGUAUUAAGAUAAAUAUGUAAUCAUAACAUUAAACUUUUGGAUCCAAAUCGGUCCCUUACGAAGUAGUGUAUAAACUAGGGUUUAAGCUUUUGUCACUCUAGCAACCCAUCAUCUAAUAACUAAUCCACAAUACAUUCCCCCCAAAUAUGGUGAAGUGUCAUGUAGUCGACAUUCACAUGACACCACUAAGCGAAUCACGACAUACAUACCAUCAAAAUAUUGAACACAUAUCAAGUUCACAUGAUUACCUGCAACAUGACUUCUCCCGUGGCCUCAGGAAACAAAACUAACAACUCACAAAUGAUAAACAUGCUCAAAAUCAAAGGAGUAUUAAUUUGCAUAAAGGAUAUGAACAUUUUGUCUUCCACCAAAUAAACCAUAUAGUAAUCAACUACAAGAUGUAAUCAACACUACUAGCCCUUCACAACCAACAUUCUAAGGUUCCGGUGCAAAGAUUGAACACAAGUGAUGAACUAGGGUUUGAGAGGAGAUGGUAUUUUUGAAGAUGUUGAUGAAGAUUGUCCUCCCCAAGAUGAGAGGGUUGAUGGUGAUGACGAUGACGAUGACGAUGAUUUCCCCCUCCGAGAGGGAAGUUCCCUCGGUGGAAUCGCUCCGUAGGAGGGUAAAAGUGCUCCUGCCCAAGUUCCGCCUCGAGACGGCAGCGCUUCGUCCCGAAAGUCCUCCUCUAUAUUUUUUUAGGUGAAAACCAAAUAUAUACCAGAAGGGGGGGCAUCGGAGGUGGGCCGGGCUGAGCACCACCAACUAGGGCGCACUUGAGGGGCCUGGUGUGCCCUGGUGUCUUGUGCUUACCAGGUGGCCCCCCUCCGAUAGCUCUUUUCUGUAGUAUUUUUGGAUAUAUUCCACAAAAAUCUCCGUGAACUUUCAGCUCAUUUGGACUUGUUCAGAAUAGGUAACUUGACAUAGCUUUUCCAGGUCCAAAUUUCCAGCUUCCGGUAUUCAUCCCUUUUGUGCAAACCUUGAUCGUUUGUCCUCAAACAAAAAACCGAAAUGUAAAUACAUGUCCACAUGCUUAGAGAGAGGAGUCGAUAAAAACAAAAUAUGGACAUAGAAGCAUCAUGCAUAUUAUCAUAACAACAAUAAACUUAAUCAUAACACUUCAUAACAGAAUUUUAUCAUAUGACUUCUCAUGAACAAGUAACGAUUCAUCACAAUAUCGAAGUAGAAGCAUAAACUUUAUUGAAAACCAACAAACUAUGUUCUCAGUCAACUUUGCAAUUAGAAUUCAUGCUCUUUUCUGGAUGGGUCUCAUGUGGAAGCCUUUUGGCAAGUCCACAUGCUCAAGCAUCAAAUCAUCUUCUAUGAUUGCUAACACUCACCACAUGCACAUGAGCAAAAAAAUUCAACCAGACACAUAGAAAGAUACGGGCUUUUAGUUUCGCCUCCCAAUGCUGUCAACUUUGCAAUUAGAAUUCAUGCUCUUUUCUGGAUGGGUCUCAUGUGGAAGCCUUUUGGCAAGUCCACAUGCUCAAGCAUCAAAUCAUCUUCUAUGAUUGCUAACACUCACCACAUGCACAUGAGCAAAAAAAUUCAACCAGACACAUAGAAAGAUACGGGCUUUUAGUUUCGCCUCCCAAUGUGUUUACCUCAAGGGUGAUGUCAACAAUAAUAACUCAUGGUCACCCAUAUUCAACUGGUAAUAUAUGUGUAAUGCCCCAAGAGUGUAACUUGCCUUAUGUGGAACUAUCUGUAUGUGGGUCCAUCUGGUCAUUGAUAUGAGAGUUAUAUGCAUGUGUUAUUUCAUGUGAUGCUUCCCUUGUCAUGUUUUCUUUUGCAUGCAUGCAUCCCUAUCAUUCCAUGUCUUGUGUUUGUUGCCUUGUGAAUCCAUGUGAUGUAGGGUAUGUGAUGUGAUGACAGGUGUUGCUAAGUGAUAUGUUGUUGAGUAGUGCAUUUGAAAGUAGGGAGCACUACGUUGGUUGCUUCUAGGUUUCAAAACUCUUCCUCUUUAUUUAUCUCAAAGUCAAUAUUCACUUUGCCCAUCCUUGAUUCAAAAGUGCCCAUGUUUUAGUACGUUUUGUGGUGGAUGUGAUGAUAUGCAUUUAGUGUUUUGAGGCUGUGUUUUAGUGGUGCAAAUAAUCACAAAACAUAUCCAUUAAUUCUAUUUUGUAAAUAUUUACAUGCUCCAAAAAUCCCUUUUUAUUUUUAUUCAAAUAGGUCAUAAUUCCUUAUGACCACGGGUAUUUUUGCUUUAAUUUUUAGCAUCAACAGUUAUCCUGUGCAUUUAUUUUUGUUUCUUGUGUUGGUUUUAAAUAAGAAACCCCAGUGGGUUUUUUUCCUCUAUCACGCGCCAGCAUGGGCCUCUUUCUCCCUCCCGAGGCCCAUCUUCCUCUUUGUUUCCUAGUGAGAGCCCAAGUGCGCUCCUUCUUCUUCUCCUAACGGCGUUUCUUCCCCUCGCGCAUGCUUUUCGUCAGAGACUCCAGUGAGAGAGCGAGCGACGCCGUGAGGCUCACGGACGUCGAGGCCCAUAGAUUCCUCGGCAUGCGUGCCCCCUUUGGCCUAGGGUUUCGCGUCCCCCUCCUAGCUCCGCCACUUUUCCCCUCCAUCUCCUUCUUCCUCCCCAAGGUAAGAUCUGUGGAGGUAGCAGAGGGUAGAGCAGUGCGCCGCCGUCGUCCGUCAUGCGUCCCUCAUCUCCGACACCGGCCAGCAUGUCAGGGAGCUCGGGGAAGGCCCCCGCGUUCCAUUCCCGUCAUCGGUGAGGCCGGGAAGCGACCACACCGACGGACAGUUCCUCCUCUCCGACGAGCUCCCGGCGGCCCCAUCCCUGCUUCGGUUCUGCAACAGGUCUUCUUCAGUCUUCUUCAGAUCGGCUCCGAUUCUUCUUUAGGCUGCCUCCUCCGACCGACACCCUCUCCAAUCCUUCAUGUCGGUGAGCCUAGCACCUUCCUCCCUUCCCCCUCUGUAGAUGCGCCUAGAUGCUCGUGGCCGCGCUUCUCUGUUCGGAGAUGUGUUCGGCAGAUCAUGUGUGGAUGAUGGUGUGGUGUUGUGCUCGUCCCGAUGCUAGUUGCAGUUGCUCCAUCGCGGUUGGAGUAGGUAGCGUAGAUGUUCCCCUCUGGCGCAGCAGUGGAAUUAGGAUGCCUCUCCAGUGAGCGACACUGCCAGCAUCUCUGUGCAGAGCAGAGCAGGGCAAUCUAUGCGUAUGUGUUUUACCUAGUUUGGUGCCCCUGUUAGUCCAAGUUCCUCAGCACAACAGAGUGGCAGCAGGCGAUUUUGCAUCUAGCGCGUCGCGGGUUCGAGUCCCAGUGCAGCACCCCUUUUUAAUUGUUGUUUUGGGCAGUAGCUCGACACGCAGGUCCUUCUUGCGCUAUUCCCCCUUCUCUGUCGUAGAAGGGUUGCUAGCCCAGUGGUUUUAGCUGCUGGUAGUGAGCAGGGACUCUUGGGUUCGAACCCUCCCCCCAUUCCUUUUAUUUUUUUGUUGCAUUUCUUUUGCCGUGUACUAUUGCUUGCUAUAUUAUGCUGCAGCUGCUUGAGAAGCAAGGUUUGCUUGCAAAAUGUUAUUCCAGCAUGUUGCCUAGUCAUGGUAUUGCUAGUAUGUGUAGUGAUGAUGGUGUAGGCUUUGUGGCAUGUUUAGUGUGGUGUUUGUGCAUGUGUAGGCCUUGUGUGCAAGUGUAGGUUUGAUCUAGCCCAUGUAUGUGUGUGUGUAUCAUGUGUGUGUUUUGCACUAGGCUAGAGUGGUGCAUGGUGUGGUUACUCUUGUGCAUAGGUGAUAAGCUUAUGCACUAUGAUGUGCAAGUGUGUGGGUGUGUGUGUCUGUGGGUUCACCCCCCACAUACUUUGUGGUGUAGGAGUAGUUGUUCUUAUGUGUGUGUGUGUGCCACACACAUGCCCAAGGCAUGAUGUGCCUUGAUGAGCACAUGAGCAAGCUAGUAUGUGUAGGUGUAGGAAUGCAUAUGUGAGUGUAAGCUAAGGUGUGUGGAUAAUUAGCAUGUGUAGGUGUUUAUUAUAUGUGGUGCUUGAUGCAUGUUUGUGUGUGGUGGUGUGCUAAGGCACAUGAGCAUGAGGUAUACCCCUCAUGUGCACCAUUGGAUAUGUGAGUUUGUGCAAGUGCAUGUGAAGUGAUGUGCUAGUGGAAGCACAUGUGAUGCUGCACUAUUCACCUCAUGUGAUUCCAUGUAGAUUUUCCUUUCAAGUUUGUGCCCUUUUGUUCUAUGCAAGUGCCUAUGUAUUAUAUAUGUUUUUGGGGUAGAAUCAUCCCAGAAAUCAAAUGGUGGGUUCAGAUUCCACUUUGGAACACUUUCUGGGAAUGUCACAUUCCUGUUUCGUUCAAUGUUUAGAGCUUGGUUCCAUGUGAUGUUAUGAGCCCAAGAGGUUGAUUCCUUGUUGUGGCAUUAGAGGGUGACCCCCUCUAUAGCAUGUUGGUUUUUUUUCAUGCUUAGUAGUUCAUAUGUGCAUGUUGUGCCUAGUCAAAGUAGGCAUGUGGCUGAAAAUUCCAGUUUAGUGAAAAUCUGUGAUUUUCACUAAGUCUGGGAAUCUGCUUAUAUUUUCUUCUCCUGUUGUUGUGCUUGUAGAAGUCCAUGUGUUGGGAAUAAGCCCUGGCUAUCAACUGUAAAGUUGUAGAUUUUGUGUUUGACUAGCUCUUUGUCAAUUUUCAUUCCAUUUGGAUUCAUGUAGCUAUUGUUUUGGGUGUUGUCAAAAUGCUCGAGAGCAUAAACAACUAGUGAGAAUCUGAAAAUUUCACUAAGUCCGUGAAAACUGAUAUUUUUGGCCAAGUUAGUGGCUGUAGAACUUUCUGUGUGUAACUCUUUUGUAUUAUCUUUUUGCUCAUGCUUGUAGAGAUUUUGAAUAGCUUCUGCCACAUAUCUUAUUUGGCAUAUUUGGGUGGUUGUAGGUGCUUUGCAUGUAGCUCUCAAACUGCUAUGUUGCUGUUUGUGACAGAUUGUAUAGUUUUGAUGUUUUGAUGCUUGUGAGUGCAUAGUUGAUGGUCUGGUGAUAUUCCUUGCACCACCCAUCCAUACUUGUUUGUUUUGUGAUAUGGAAACCUGGGAAUACCAGAAUUAUUCCAUUGGAGUGUGUUGUGAUGGAUUUGAUCCGUAGGACUCAAUUUCUUGUUUCGUUGUUUCCGGUUGAUCCGUUGCCCCGUUCGUAACGUUCUUUAUAUGUUUUUGCAUCGUUUUCGCGUGACACAUUUGUUCAUGUCAUUCUCAUGCAUUUCUAGGUAGCUUAGAGUGAAGUUCUGUCCAGGAACUUGUAUUUUCUUCUCAGGCAUGUGCAGGUGACUAGAAUAGAGAUGCAUGUUCAUUUUCAUCUCAUGCAUCAUGUGCUUGUUGCAGCUUGUGGUGAUGUUGUUCAUUGGAUGCUAUUUUUUAUGUUGGGUAGCACUGGGAUCGGAGAACGAGUACGUGGAUCUGAGAGAGUACGUGCAGGACGAACAAGAGCAGUUCCAAGCUGAGGACAUCAUAUGCAAGAUGAUAUGACCUUGGUUCCAUCUCUAGACUUGUUAUGCUAGAUUCACGUUUCUUUCAUCAUACGCUCGCUGCCUACCACUGAAAUAAUUGCCUCCUGAUAUUGCCAUGAAACCCAAACACUUAUCCCUUCCUAGCAAAUCUUGAAUGGCUAAGUGGGCUUUGUCAGCUACUAAUGUUAGCGUUGCUAGUUGCAGGUGCAUUUGUCUCAUGUGAUAACAUGACCUUGAUAUGAUUAUGUUAAAUCUGGUAUUUAAUUAAUGCACCUAUAUACUUGGUAAAUAACGGAAGGCCUAGCCUUUUGCCGGGUGUUUUUCCGUUAUUGCCGCCACAGUUUCCGGCUACCGGUGUUUGAUUCCAUAAUGAUCGCUCCUAACACGUUCGGGGUUGUUAUGGGGACCCCCUUGAUAAAUCGUGUAGUGUUAAGACUUGUAUGGCAGGAUCCAACAUUGGUGUUAAUUUUAUAAUCACUUAAUAAUAAUCUGCAUCAAGAAUAGCUACCCCGAGGAAUUUAAUCAACAACCUGGGCCAGUGCUCCUCAUGAGUGUUGGUCCAAACUGAGCACUGUUCGGGGCCAACUCAGGGCAACUUGAGUGAUUUCUAUCAGGCCAUCGUGCGCGUAGCUCAUCCGUCAUGUCCUCAAACUGAGAUAGGCGGCUCUUAUCGGGGUUGUCGACACGACGGGAGGUCCUGCUAGUCUUGUCUUACCUUAGCGAUAUAUCUUGCGUAUAGGAAUCACGGUGAAGCUUUGGUUCUCCCCAGAGUUGAGGUUUUCCUCUAAGGAAUCCGACGAGAUCACGAGAUUCGUGAUAGAGGAUUACUUUGCGGCCCGUGACCAUUUGUGAUGGACUAGUUGGAGCACCCCUGCAGGGUUUAAUCUUUUGGAAAGCCGUGCCCGCGGUUAUGUGGCAACUUGGAAUAUUUGUUAACAUCCGAUUAUAGAUAACUUGAACCUAAUCUAAUAAAAUUGCCAACUGUGUGCGUAACCGUGACUGUCCCCUUCGAAGACCUCUCUUUGAUCGGGAAUACGGUGGGGUUAUGAUUGACAUAAGUAGGUGUUCAGGAUCACUUAGUGAUCAGCUAGUCAGCGACCGCUAGUAUAGACCAACUUCAAUACUUGUUCUACGUCAGUUAGCCACCAUAUAUGCUUAGGAUGCUGCAACCUAAACACUGAACCUUCCUUACCUAAUAACUUGACUAGUUCUGGCACCGAGGUCAUAGAUUGCUGAGUUCCCGUGGCUCAAAGAUUACUUCAACACACCAACAAGUACAGGUACGCCCGACACAGGUGAUCCCGAUGGCAUGCAGCUGGCGUGGCAGUACGAUGAGGAGAACGACCGUCUAUACGUGAACUAUCCAGAAGACUGAGGCGUGGUCGUGAUCAUGGGCAAGCAUGCAGGGUAGUAUAGCAUUUUCUCAUGUUAUGUAGUCCGUAGCGGAACUACCUUGUUUGAAUAAAUGCGUGAUGUAAACCCUGAUAUUAUUAUGAGAUGGCAGAUGAACCCCUAUUUGUCAUUCUAUUAUUAUGUAUGUGCUAUGUUAUCGUGCCUGCGAAACACUUAUAUGUGCUUCUUUCCUUUUGGGGCCUCGUUCCCUAAAUCGGAAAGGACCGCAUCUUAGUCGUUACAAUAUGUGCCUAGAUCUUUCCUCACCAGAUGGUGCUUGCAAAAAGAUAAGAAUAAAAACGAAUAGAAGAAAAUACUUUGACUCUUUGCAUGAAAAUAAAAGAUAGGCCCUUCGUAGAGGGAAGCAGAGGUUGUCAUGCGCUUAUUUGUUUGUAUGCUAAAUCCCUUACUACAAAAGAACAUCGCGUUAUAUUUCCCCUUAUGAUAGCAAACUUUAUUAUGCAGUCCGUCGCUUUUAUUACUUUGCCAUCACAAGUUCAUACAAUGCUCAAUUUUCUCUUACACUAAAUGAUCCAACACAUUUACCAGCAAUUUUUAUUGCCUUAUUGCACCGAUUACAAGUUACUUGAAGGAUCUUAAUCAAUCCAUAGGUAAGCAUGAUGGACUCUUUGGAAUAAAAUUUGGGUUUAAGGUCUUUUGGAUGCACAAGUAGUAUCUCUACUUAGUGCGGAAUUUUUGGCUAGAAAAUAUAUCGAGCAAGCACCACAUGUUAAAGGAUCCAUGAAAAUACAACUUAUAUGUGAAUAUAAGCAAGGAUAAAUAAUUACGUUGUCUUCCUUGUCCAAUGUCAACCGUUUCGGCAUAUAAUGGGGGGGGUUGAUGGGGGCUCACAAUCAUAAAAGAUGUCCAAGAUAGUAUAUUUGCAUGUGAAUCUUCUCUUCCCUUAUUAACUUUUUCAUGAGUUGCAUUAUUGAACAAUGCUAUGUUUUUCAAUCUCCAACAGAUUUUACUACUUAUACUCUUCCUUAUGUAAUGUCAUCUUGAUUUAUUUCAUUUCCUUUAUUUUGAUCUUAUUCAUUUAUUUCAUUUCCUUUAUUUUGAUUGCAACGUAGAACUAAAGAAGGCAAAACUUGAACUAAAUUUAUUAUAUCUUGCACACGAUUACAAAGAUAGAUCACUAAGCAAACACUCGAAAAGAAAGGAUCGGACUAAACUUUUUAUUCAACUAAAUCAUAGGAAUACUAAGGAUCGAACUAAAGUAGAUAAAAAUAAAUAUAGCGCCGUGAUACGAUACCGGGGCACCUCCCCCAAGCUUGGCUCAAGCCAAGGGUAGUGCCCAUACCAGAUACUCAAUCCUCCAUUGGUGGUGUAGAUGGAGUAAGAUUGUACUUCACUUCCAAGAGGUACUGCAUUCUACGAAUGUUGCUUUGGAGGGUGCUAUUGUACUCUUGCAACUGGAUAUUUUCAAGAGUGAGACAUUUAUUGUCAAUACGAACCAUUUCAAAGGAACGAAAGGCUUCGAUUUCAAUGGGGGUAAGGUGAUCAUAGUAGGGUGAAGGAUAUCUUCUUCUUCUUCUUCGAUCGGUGAGGCUUGCUCCCCCGCUUGAAUUUGCUCCACGAGACCCUCCUUGUCCUUGAUAUCUAGGAUGACUACCUUGGGUUCCUCCCUCUUGAGUUCUAUCUUCAUCAGCCAAACAUCUACUUCCUCGUUGUUGGUAGAGGGGCCAGUCAUGAUGUAUGGCCCUGUUGGGUCUGACAGAGAAACAGGAAGAAAGAAGAACAUGAGAUCUUUCUGCUGUACGGCGGUCAAUACGAUCAGGGAGCAUAUGUAGAUUUUUUAUCUUGGGAAACAAGCAGAAUGAGGGGAAACCGGAGUCGCGAAGGUGUGUGAGGUGGGCACCACCCACCUCGGUGCACCUUAGGAUCCCGGCGCGCCCUGGUGUCCUGUGCCCUCCACGGGUACCUUCCGAGUUGUUUCUUAUUUUCCUAAUUUUUGAUAUAUUCCAAAACUAAUUUAUAUAUUUAUUUUGUGGAUUUUUCUGAGUCUUUUUACUUACCGUACCACGUCCCUCCUAUUUUUCACGAUUGUGGAGUGUUCCGGAAGGUUUCCCUUAUGUGUUCCUCCGGUGUCAUGGUUUGAAUAAUAUUGCUUUCAACAUUAAUGGGCGUACCUGAGAUGUAGUGUUUAAUACUUUGACCAUUGACCACCUUUGGGUUAGUACCUUCAGCAUUAUUUAUUUUGAUAGGUCCAUAACUAAAAUUUCUUCAAUGAUAUAAGGUCCUUCCUAUUAAUAGAAGUUUUUCUGCAAAGAAUCUUAAACGAGAGUUAUACAAAAGGACAUAUUUUACCAUUUUAAAUUCUCGCUUUUGAAUUAUUUUAUCAUGCCAUCUUUUAACUUUUUCUUUAAAUAGUGUGGCAUUUUCAUAAGCUUGGGUUCUCAAUUCAUCUAGUGAGCUAAUAUCAAAUAACCUCUUUUGACUCGCAAGUUUGAAAUCAUAGUUGAGUUCUUUGAUUGCCCAAAAUGCUUUGUGUUUUAAUUGAAGAGGCAAAUGACAAGCUUUUCCAUAGACCAUUUUAUAGGGAGACAUACCCAUAGGAUUCUUAUAGGCUGUUCAGUAGACCAAAGUGCAUCAUCUAAUUUCUUAGACCAAUUCUUUCGAGACCUAUUGACAUUUUUUUGUAAUAUCAAAUUUAUUUCUCUAUUGCUAAGUUCAACGUGUCCACUAGAUUGAGGAUGAUAGGGUCAUGCUAUUCUAUGGUUAACAUCAUACUUAGCAAGGAUUUUACGGAAGGCGCCAUGAAUAAAGUGUGAACCACCAUCAAUCAUUAGAUAUCUAGGGACUCCAAACCUAGGGAAAAUAAUGGAAGUGUUAUGAUCAACACUACUAGUUGGAAUAGCGUCUACCCACUUACUAACAUAAUCAACAACAACCAAAAUAUGAGUAUACCCAUUAGAGGAAGGAAAUGGUCCCAUAUAAUCAAAACCCCAAACAUCAAAUGGUUCAAGAGCAAGUGAAUAAUUCAUAGGCAUUUCUUGACGCUUACCGAUAUUACCAAUUCUCUUAUAUUCAACACAAGAUAAAAGACACUUAUGGGAAUCCUUAAAGAGAGUAGGCCAAUAAAAACCAGAUUCCAAUACCUUGUGAGCAGUUCUAUCUCCUGCAUGAUGUCCUCCAUAAGCUUCAAAGUGACAUUUUCCGUAGGAUUUGUUCCUGUUCAUCCUCGGGUACACAACGUCUAAUAAUACCAUCUACUCCUUCCUCAUAAAGAUGUGGGUCAUCCCAAAAGUAAUGUCUUAAAUCAUGGAAGAAUUUUUUCUUUUGUUGGCAUGUGAAACUAGGUGAUAUAUAUUUGGCAACAAUAAAGUUAGCAUGGUUAACAUACCAAGGUGUGUUGUGAGAAACAUUUAUUGCAGCUAAUUGUUCAUCGCGGAAACUUAUUGGAAAUUUUCCCUAGAGGCAAUGAUAAAAUAGUUAUUAUUAUAUUUCCUGUUUCAAGAUAAUAGUUCAUUAUCCAUGCUAUAAUUGUAUUGAGUGAAAACAUAAAUGCAUGUGUGGAUAUAUAGACAAAACUAUGUCCCUAGUAAGCCUCUAGUUGACUAGCCAGUUGAUCAUGGAUGGUUAAGGUUUUCUAACCAUAUGCAAGUGUUGUCACUUGAUGACUGGAUCACAUCAUUGGGAGAAUGAUGUGCUGGACAAGACCAAAAAUAUAAACGUAGCAUGUGAUCGUGUCAUUUUGUUGCUAUUGUUUUCUGCGUGUCAAGUAUUCAUUCCUAUGACCAUGAUAUCGUGUAACUCACUGACACUUGAGGAAUACCUUUUGUAUAUGAAACGUUGCAACGUUACUGGCUGACUAUAAAGGUUCACUACAGGUAUCUCCAAAGGUGUCCGUUGAGUUAGGAUGGAUCAAUACUGGGAUUUGUCACUCCGUGUGACGGAGAGGAAUCUCAGGGCCCACUCGGUAAUACAGCAUCACAUAUAAGCCUUGCAAGCAAUGUGGCUAAAGUGUUAAUCACGGGAUAUUGUAUUACGGAAUGAGUAAAGAGACUUGCUGGUAAUGAGAUUGAAAUAGGUAUAGGGGUACCGACAAUCAAAUCUCGGGCAAGAAACAUACCGAAGGACAAAGGGAAUGGUAUGCGGGAUUAUAUGAAUCCUUGGCACAGAGGUUGAACCGAUAAGAUCUUCAUAGAAUAUGUAGGAUCCAACAUGGAAAUCAAGGUCCCGCUGUUGGAUAUUGACCGGGGAGUGUCUCAGGUCAUGUCUGCAUGGUUCUCGAACCCGCAGAGUCUGCACACUUAAGGUUCGGUGAUGUUUCGGUAUUGUUGAGUUAUAGGUGUUGGUUAACGAAGGUUUGUUCGGAGUCCCGAAUGAGAUCACGAAUGUCACGAGGGUUUCCGGAAUGGUCCGGAAAUGAAGAUUGAUAUAUAGGAUUGUUUAAUUUGGCCUCCGGAAAGAUUUUGGGCAUUUUUCUUUUGUUGGCAUGUGAAACUAGGAGGUAUAUAUUUGGCAACAAUAAAAUUAGCAUGGUUAACAUACCAAGGUGUGUUGUGAGAAACAUUUAUUGCAGCUAAUUGUUCAUCAGGGAAACUUAUUGGAAAUUUUCCCUAGAGGCAAUGAUAAAAUAGUUAUUAUUAUAUUUCCUCCCCCCCCCCCCCCGUUCAUUAUCCAUGCUAUAAUUGUAUUGAGUGAAAACAUAAAUGCAUGUGUGGAUAUAUAGACAAAACUAUGUCCCUAGUAAGCCUCUAGUUGACUAGCCAGUUGAUCAUAGAUGGUUAAGGUUUUCUAACCAUAUGCAAGUGUUGUCACUUGAUGACUGGAUCACAUCAUUGGGAGAAUGANGUCCCUAGUAAGCCUCUAGUUGACUAGCCAGUUGAUCAUAGAUGGUUAAGGUUUUCUAACCAUAUGCAAGUGUUGUCACUUGAUGACUGGAUCACAUCAUUGGGAGAAUGAUGUGAUGGACAAGACCAAAAAUAUAAACGUAGCAUGUGAUCGUGUCAUUUUGUUGCUAUUGUUUUCUGCGUGUCAAUUAUUCAUUCCUAUGACCAUGAGAUCAUGUAACUCACUGACACUUGAGGAAUACCUUUUGUGUAUCAAACGUCGCAACGUUACUGGGUGACUAUAAAGGUUCACUACAGGUAUCUCCAAAGGUGUCCGUUGAGUUAGCAUGGAUCAAUACUGGGAUUUGUCACUCCGUGUUACGGAGAGGUAUCUCAGGGCCCACUCAGUAAUACAACAUCACAUAUAAGCCUUGCAAGCAAUGUGGCUAAAGUGUUAGUCACGUGAUAUUGUAUUAUGGUAUGAGUAAAGAGACUUGCCGGUAAUGAGAUUGAAAUAGGUAUAGGGGUACCGACAAUCAAAUCUCGGGCAAGAAACAUACUGAAGGACAAAGGGAAUGGUAUAUGGGAUUAUAUGAAUCCUUGGCACAGAGGUUGAACCGAUAAGAUCUUCAUAGAAUAUGUAGGAUCCAAUAUGGAAAUCAAGGUCCCGCUGUUGGAUAUUGACCGGGGAGUGUCUCAGGUCAUGUCUGCAUGGUUCUCGAACCCGCAGAGUCUGCACACUUAAGGUUCGGUGAUGUUUCGGUAUUGUUGAGUUAUAGGUGUUGGUUAACGAAGGUUUGUUCGGAGUCCCGAAUGAGAUCACGAAUGUCACGAGGGUUUCCGGAAUGGUCUGGAAAUGAAGAUUGAUAUAUAGGAUUGUUUCAUUUGGCCUCCGGAAAGAUUUCGGGCAUUUUUCUUUUGUUGGCAUGUGAAACUAGGUGGUAUAUAUUUGGCAACAAUAAAAUUAGCAUGGUUAACAUACCAAGGUGUGUUGUGAGAAACAUUUAUUGCAGCUAAUUGUUCAUCAGGGAAACUUAUUGGAAAUUUUCCCUAGAGGCAAUGAUAAAAUAGUUAUUAUUAUAUUUCCUGGGGGGGGGGGGGGGUUCAUUAUCCAUGCUAUAAUUGUAUUGAGUGAAAACAUAAAUGCAUGUGUGGAUAUAUAGACAAAACUAUGUCCCUAGUAAGCCUCUAGUUGACUAGCCAGUUGAUCAUAGAUGGUUAAGGUUUUCUAACCAUAUGCAAGUGUUGUCACUUGAUGACUGGAUCACAUCAUUGGGAGAAUGAUGUGAUGGACAAGACCAAAAAUAUAAACGUAGCAUGUGAUCGUGUCAUUUUGUUGCUAUUGUUUUCUGCGUGUCAAUUAUUCAUUCCUAUGACCAUGAGAUCAUGUAACUCACUGACACUUGAGGAAUACCUUUUGUGUAUCAAACGUCGCAACGUUACUGGGUGACUAUAAAGGUUCACUACAGGUAUCUCCAAAGGUGUCCGUUGAGUUAGCAUGGAUCAAUACUGGGAUUUGUAACUCCGUGUUACGGAGAGGUAUCUCAGGGCCCACUCAGUAAUACAACAUCACAUAUAAGCCUUGCAAGCAAUGUGGCUAAAGUGUUAGUCACGUGAUAUUGUAUUAUGGUAUGAGUAAAGAGACUUGCCGGUAAUGAGAUUGAAAUAGGUAUAGGGGUACCGACAAUCAAAUCUCGGGCAAGAAACAUACUGAAGGACAAAGGGAAUGGUAUAUGGGAUUAUAUGAAUCCUUGGCACAGAGGUUGAACCGAUAAGAUCUUCAUAGAAUAUGUAGGAUCCAAUAUGGAAAUCAAGGUCCCGCUGUUGGAUAUUGACCGGGGAGUGUCUCAGGUCAUGUCUGCAUGGUUCUCGAACCCGCAGAGUCUGCACACUUAAGGUUCGGUGAUGUUUCGGUAUUGUUGAGUUAUAGGUGUUGGUUAACGAAGGUUUGUUCGGAGUCCCGAAUGAGAUCACGAAUGUCACGAGGGUUUCCGGAAUGGUCUGGAAAUGAAGAUUGAUAUAUAGGAUUGUUUCAUUUGGCCUCCGGAAAGAUUUCGGGCAUUUUUCUUUUGUUGGCAUGUGAAACUAGGUGGUAUAUAUUUGGCAACAAUAAAAUUAGCAUGGUUAACAUACCAAGGUGUGUUGUGAGAAACAUUUAUUGCAGCUAAUUGUUCAUCAGGGAAACUUAUUGGAAAUUUUCCCUAGAGGCAAUGAUAAAAUAGUUAUUAUUAUAUUUCCUGUUUCAAGAUAAUCGUUCAUUAUCCAUGCUAUAAUUGUAUUGAGUGAAAACAUAAAUGCAUGUGUGGAUAUAUAGACAAAACUAUGUCCCUAGUAAGCCUCUAGUUGACUAGCCAGUUGAUCAUAGAUGGUUAAGGUUUUCUAACCAUAUGCAAGUGUUGUCACUUGAUGACUGGAUCACAUCAUUGGGAGAAUGAUGUGAUGGACAAGACCAAAAAUAUAAACGUAGCAUGUGAUCGUGUCAUUUUGUUGCUAUUGUUUUCUGCGUGUCAAUUAUUCAUUCCUAUGACCAUGAGAUCAUGUAACUCACUGACACUUGAGGAAUACCUUUUGUGUAUCAAACGUCGCAACGUUACUGGGUGACUAUAAAGGUUCACUACAGGUAUCUCCAAAGGUGUCCGUUGAGUUAGCAUGGAUCAAUACUGGGAUUUGUACUCCGUGUUACGGAGAGGUAUCUCAGGGCCCACUCAGUAAUACAGCAGCACAUAUAAGCCUUGCAAGCAAUGUGGCUAAAGUGUUAGUCACGGGAUAUUGUAUUACGGUAUGAGUAAAGAGACUUGCCGGUAAUGAGAUUGAAAUAGGUAUAGGGGUACCGACAAUCAAAUCUCGGGCAAGAAACAUACCGAAGGACAAAGGGAAUGGUAUACGGGAUUAUAUGAAUCCUUGGCACAGAGGUUGAACCGAUAAGAUCUUCAUAAAUUAUGUAGGAUCCAAUAUGGACAUCAAGGUCCCGCUAUUGGAUAUUGACCGGGGAGUGUCUCAGGUCAUGUCUGCAUGGUUCUCGAACCCGCAGAGUCUGCACACUUAAGGUUCGGUGAUGUUUCGGUAUUGUUGAGUUAUAGGUGUUGGUUAACGAAGGUUUGUUCGGAGUCCUGGAUGAGAUCACGAAUGUCACGAGGGUUUCCGGAAUGGUCCGGAAAUGAAGAUUGAUAUAUAGGAUUGUUUCAUUUGGCCUCCGGAAAGAUUUCGGGCAUUGCCGGCAGUGUACCGGGAGUGACGAAUGGGUUCCAGGUUUUUACCGGGAGGGGGCCACCCACCCGGGAGAGAACCUAAUAGCCCAUAGGUGGCACACCAGCCCGUGGUGGGCUGGUGAGGCUAGCCCAAUAGGGCUAAUUAGGCCAAGAGGAAAAAUCAAAGGAGAAAAAAAAGAGGAGGUGGGAAGGAAGGAAGGGAGUCCUCCUUCCCAAACCGAAUUGGAGUGGGAGUCCCUCCUCCUCCACUCGGCUGACGCCCUAGGGGCUCUCUUGACCCCCAAGGCUAGUCCCUCCCCUCCUCCUAUAUAUACUAGAGGUUUUAGGGUUUUUGAGACACAACUUUCCCACGUGCAUCCUUAAACCUCUACCUUGUAGUUCUUCCUCUAGAUCGGUUUUCUGCGGAGCUCGGGCAGAGCCCUGCAGGAAUAGAUCUUCACCAUCACUGGCGUGUCAUCACGCUGCCGGAGAACUCAUCUACUUCCGUGUCUCUCUUGCUGGAUCAAGAAGGCGGAGAUUGUCAUCGAGUUGUACGUGUGAUGAACGCGGAGGUGCCGUCCGUUCGGUGCUAGAUCGGCACGGAUCGUGGGACGACGGUGAUUUGAAUCAUGAAGUUGUUCCACUACAUCAACCACGUUUCUUAACGCUUCCUGCUUAGCGAUCUACAAGGGUAUGUGGAUCCGAUCUCCCUCUCGUAGAUGAACAUCACCAUGAUAGGUCUUCGUGUGCGUAGGAAGAUUUGUGUUUCCCAUGCAACAUUCCCCAACGGUUACAUCAUGAGCUAGGUUCAUGCGUAGAUGUAAUCUCGAGUAGAACACAAAAGUUUUUGUGGGUUUUGAUGUUCGAUUUUCUGCCCUCCUUAGUCUUUUCUCGAUUCGGCGGUAUUGUUGGAUUGAAGCUGCCCGGAUCAACCUUACUCGUACGCUUACGAGAGACCGGUUUCAUCGAGUAACAUGCAACUUGUUGCAUAAAGAUGACUCGCGGGUGUCUGUUUCUUCAACUUUAGUUGAAUUGGUUUUGACCGAGGCAAUCCUUGGAGAGAGGUUAAAUAGCAAUUUGCACAUCACCGUUGUGGUUUUGCGUAAGUAAGAUGCGAUCAUACUAGAUACCCAUAGCAGCCACGUAAAACAUGCAACAACAAAUUAGAGGACGUUUAACUUGUUUUUGCAGGGUAUGCAUGUGAUGUGAUAUGGCCAAAGACAUGAUGUGAUAUAUUGGAUGUAUGAGAUGAUCAUGUUGUAAUAGUUAAAUAUCGACUUGCACGUCGAUGCUACGGCAACCGGCAGGAGCCAUAGGGUUGUCUUUAAACUAACGUUUGUGCUUGCAGAUGUGUUUACUAUAUUGCUAGGUUGUAGCUUUAGUAGUGAUAGCAUAGACAACACAACAACCUCGAUGGCGGCACGAUGAUGGAGAUCAUGGUGUGGCGCCGGUGACGAUGAAGAUCAUGCCGGUGCUUUGGUGAUGGAGAUCAAGAAGCACAAGAUCAUGGCCAUAUCAUGUCACUUAUGAAUUGCAUGUGAUGUUAAUCCUUUUAUGCACCUUAUCUUGCUUAGAACGAUGGUAGCAUUAUGAGGUGAUCCCUUACUAAAUUUAAAGAUAAAAUUGUGUUCUCCCCGACUGUGCACCGUUGCGAGAGUUCAUUGUUUCGAGACACCACGUGAUGAUCGGGUGUGAUAGACUCAACGUUCACAUACAACGGGUGCAAAACAGUAGCACACGCGGAACACUCGGAUUAAACUUGACGAGCCUAGCAUGUACAGACAUGGCCUCGGAACACAAGAGACCGAAAGGUCGACAAUGAAUCGCAUGGUUGAUAUGAUUAACAUAGAGAUGUUUACCACUGAAACUACACUCAACUCACGUGAUGAUCGGACUUGAGUUAGUGAAUUUGGAUCAUGCCACACUCAAAUAACUAUAGGGAUGUCUAUUUGAGUGGGAGUUUAUUAGUAAUAUGAUUAUCUGAACUCUAAUUGUCUUGAACAUAGUCGAAGUAAACUUUGCAAUAUUUUAUGUUGUAGAUCAAUGGCUCACACACUAGAAACCCUGAAUUUCCAUACGUUCCUAGAGAAAGCUAAGCUGAAAGAUUAUGGUACCAACUUUGUAGACCGGGCUCGUAAUAUGAGGCUUAUCCUACAAGCCGGGAAAAAGAAUUAUGUCCUUGAGGCAGCUCUAGGAGAUGAACCACCCGCUACGUCUGAACAAGAUGUUUUGAACGCUUGGCAAGCACGUAAGGAGGACUACUCAGUAGUUCAAUGUGCAGUCUUGUAUGGCUUAGAACCGGGACUUUAACAAUGCUUUGAAUGUCAUGGAGCAUAUGAGAUGUUCCAGGAGUUGAAGUUUAUCUUUCAGAAGAAUGCCCAGAUCGAGAGGUAUGAGUCCUCUGACAAAUUCUAUGCUUGCAAAAUGGAGGAGAAUUCGUUUGUCAGUGAACAUGUGCUCAAAAUGUCUGGGUACUCAAACCGUCUAGCUGAGCUAGGAGUUGAACUCCCGCAAGAGUCCAGCACUGACAGAAUUCUUCAAUCACUGCCACCUAGCUACAAGAGCUUUGUGUUGAAGUAUAACAUGCAAGGGAUGAAUAAGUCACCCGGCGAGUUAUUUGCGAUGCUGAAAGUCGCAGAGUCAGAACUCUGGAAAGAACAUCAAGUGUUGAUGGUUAAGAAGACCACUGGUUUGAAGAGAAACAACAAAGACAAGAAGGGAAACUCCGAAAAGAGCGACAAAACUGUUGCCCCUUCGAAGAAGAAACCCAAGGCUGGACCUAAGCCGGAAACAUAGUGCUAUUAUUGCAAGGGGACGGGUCACUGGAAGCGCAACUGCCCCAAGUAUUUGGCUGAUAAGAAGGCGGCCAAUGCCAAACCAGGUAUAUGUGAUAUACAUGUUAUUGAUGUGUACCUAACCAACUCUCGUAGUAGUUCCUGGGUAUUUGAUACCGGUUCUGUUGCUCACAUUUGCAACUCGAAGUAGGAACUGCGGAAUAAACGAAGGCUGGCGAAGGAUGAAGUGACGAUGCGCGUGGGAAAUGGUUCCAAGGUUGAUGCAAUCUCUGUCGGCACAGUCUCACUUCAGUUACCAUCGGGAUUAGUUAUGAACUUAAAUAAUUGUUAUUUAGUGCCUGCGUUAAGCAUGAACAUUAUAUCUGGAUCUUGUUUAUUGCCAGACGGUUACUCAUUUAAGUUAGAGGAUAAUGGUUGUUCUAUUUUUAUGAGUAAUAUCUUUUGUGGUCAUGCACCCAAUGUGAGGGGUUUGUUCAUAUUGAAUUUUGAUUGUGAUAACACACAGAUCCAUAACAUUGAGACCAAAAGAUGUAGAGUUAACAAUGAUAGCGCCACCUUUUUGUGGCACUGCCGCUUAGGUCAUAUUGGUGUAAAGAGCAUUAAGAAACUCCAUGCUGAUAGGCUUUUGGAGUCACUUGAUAUUGAAUCACUUGACAUGUGCAAACCAUGCCUCAUGGGCAAGAUGACUAAGACUCCGUUCUCUGGAACAAUAGAGCGUGCAAGUGACUUGUUGGAAAUCAUACAUACUGAUGUGUACGGGCCAAUGAGUGUGGAGGCACGCGGCGGAUAUCGUUAUUUUCUCACCUUCACUGAUGAUUUGAGUAGGUAUGGAUAUAUCUACUUGAUGAAGAACAAGUCUGAAACGUUUGAAAAGUUCAAACAAUUUCAGCGUGAAGUUGAAAAUCAUCGUAACAAGAAGAUCAAGUUCCUACGAUCUGAUUGAGGGGGCGAAUAUCUGAGUUUCGAGUUUGGUGCUCACUUAAGACAAUGUGGAAUCGUUUCACAGUUGACACCGCUUGGAACACCACAGCGUAAUGGUAUGUCCGAACGUCAUAAUCGUACUUUGUUAGAUAUGGUGCGAUCUAUGAUGUCUCUUACCGAUUUGCCAUUAUCAUUUUGGGGUUAUGCAUUAGAGACAACUGCAUUCACUUUAAAUAGGGCACCAUCAAAAUCCAUUGAGACGACACCGUAUGAGCUAUGGCAUGGCAAGAGGCCAAAGUUGUCGUUCCGUAAAGUUUGGGGAUGCGAUGCUUAUGUCAAAAAGCUUCAGCCUGAAAAGCUAUAACCCAAAGCGGAAAAGUGCAUCUUCAUAGGUUACCCAAAAGAGACAGUUGGGUACACCUUCUAUCUCAGAUCCGAGGGCAAAGUGUUUGUUGCUAAAAACGGAGCUUUUCUUGAGAAAGAGUUUCUCUCGAAAGAAUUGAGUGGGAGGAAGAUAAAAACUUGAUGAGGUUGUGGAACCUCUGCUCUAGCAGGAUGGUGGCGCAGGGCAGAGGGAAAUCUCUGUCGAGGCAACACCGGUUGAGGAGGAAGCUAAUGAUGAUGAUCAUGAAGCUUCGGAUCAAGUUACUGUCGGACCUGGCAGGUCGACAAGAUCACGUACUGCUCCUGAGUGGUACGGGAAUCCUGUCUUGUCUAUCAUGUUGUUAGACAACAAUGAACCUGCGAAUUAUGAAGAAGCAAUGGUGGGCCCAGAUUCCAACAAAUGGUUAGAGACCAUGAAAUCCGAGAUAAGAUGUAUGUAUGAAAACAAAGUGUGGACUUUGGAAGUAUUAACUGAAGGUCGCAAGGCUAUUCAGAACAACUGGAUCUUUAAGAAGACGGACGCGGACGGUACUGUGACCGUUUAUAAAGCUCGACUUGUGGCAAAUGCUUUUUCACAAGUUUAAGGAGUUGACUACGAUGAGACAUUCUCACCGGUAGCGAUGCUUAAGUCCGUUCAAAUCAUGUUAUCAAUAGCUGCAUUUUUGGAUUAUGAAAUCUGGCAGAUGGAUGUCAAAACGGCGUUCCUUAAUGGUUUUAUUAAGGAAGAAUUGUAUAUGAUGCAACCCGAAGGUUUUGUCGACCCAAAGAAUGCUAACAAAGUAUGUGAUCACCCACAAGUGUAGGGGAUCUAUCGUAGUCCUUUCGAUAAGUAAGAGUGUCGAACCCAACGAGGAGCAGAAAGAUCUGACAAGUGGUUUGCAGCAAGUUAUUCUCUGCAAGCACUGAAAUUAUCGGUAACAGAAAGUUGUCUGAUAAGAUGAUUCAUAGAAAGUAGCAAGUAACAAUAGUAACAACGGUGCAGCAAAGUGACCCAAUCCUUUUUGUAGCAAAGGACAAGCCUGGACAAACUCUUAUAGGAAGUAAUGUGCUCCCGAGGACACACGGGAAUUUCUGUCAAGCUAGUUUUCAUCAUGUUCAUAUGAUUCGCGUUCGCUACUUUGAUAGUUUGAUAUGUGGGUGGACUGGUGCUUGGUUGCUGCCCUUACUUGGACAAACCUCCCACUUAUGAUUAACCCCUCUCGCAAGCAUCCGCAACUACGAAAUAAGAAUUAAGACAAAGUCUAACCAUAGCAUUAAACUAGUGGAUCCAAAUCAGCCCCUUACGAAGCAACGCAUAAACUAGGGUUUAAGCUUCUGUCACUCUAGAAACCCAUCAUCUACUUACUACUUCCCAAUGCCUUCCUCUAGGCCCAAAUAAUGGUGAAGUGUUAUGUAGUCGACGUUCACAUAACACCACUAGAGGAGAGACAACAUACAACACAUCAAAAUAUCGAACGAAUACCAAAUUCACAUGACUACUUAUAGCAGGACUUAUCCCAUGUCCCGAGGAACAAAAGUGACUACUCACAAAGCAUAAUAAUAUUCAUGACCAGAGAGGUUUUGAAUAGCAUCAACGAUAUGAACAUAUAAUCUUCCACCAAGUAAUCCAACUAGCAUCAACUACAAAGAGUAAUUAACACCACUAGCAACCUUAGAAGUACCAAGCGGAGUCGCGAGAUGGAGAUUGGUUACAAGAGAUGAACUAGGGUUUGGAGAUGAGAUGGUGCUGAUGAAGAUGUUGAUGGUGAUGAGUCCCCUCCGAUGAGAGGAGUGUUGGUGAUGACUAUGGCGACGAUUUCCCCCUCCGUGAGGGAAGUUUCCAUGGCAGGACGACCCUGCCGAAGCUCUAGAUUGGUUCUGCUCAAGUUCUGCCUUGUGGCGGCAGCGAUUCCUCCCGAAAGCCUCCUCUCAAUUUUUUCUGGAACGAAACCCUCCUUAUAGCAAAAGAGGGGAGCCAGAGGGCCAACAGGGAGCCCACAAGCGCCCUAGGCGCGGCCAGGGGGGUAGGCCGCGCCUAGCAGGCUUGUGGCCUCCUGGUGGCUCCCCUCUGGUACUUCUUCCGCCCAGUAUUUUUUGUAAAUUCCAAAAUAAUUCCUCGUUGAUUUUCACGGCUUUUGGAGUUACGUAGAAUAGGUAUCUCAAACUUGCUCCUUUUUCAGGCCAGAAUUCGAGUUGCCGGCAUUCUCCCUCUUCAUGUAAACCUUAUAAAAUAAGAGAGAAAAGGCAUAAGUAUUUUACCGUGAAGUGUAAUAAUAGCCUAAAAAGCGAUAAAUAUCAACAUAAAAGAAUAAUGCAAAAUGGACGUAUCAACUCAACCAAGCUUAGACUUUGCUUGUCCUCAAGCGGAAACCGAGAUCAAUAAAUAUGCCCACAUGUUUAGAGAGAGAGGUGUCGACAAAAGAAAAUACGGACAUGUAAGCAUCGUGAUCAUAAUGAGAACAGCAAUAUCAUCAUAUCAUCUCUUAUGCUAAAGUGAUAAUUCCUUCACAAAGUAAAGUAUGGGUCAAGAACCUUAUUGAGAAUUAACAACCAAUAGCCUUUAGUCAUUGAAGCAAUUGCAAUUUAUCAUAACAUCAGAAAGAGUCAAAUAAGAGCUUGUAAAGCAAAUCCACAUACUCAAUCAUCCUUCUGUCUUCUACAAUUGCUACAACUCACGUGGUACUCACGAGAUCAAAGUUUCAGUUGGACACAAAGAAAGAUAGGGGCUUAUAGUUUCGCCUCCCAACUAUUUGCCCCAAGGGUAAUGUCAACAAUAAUAAUUCAUGAAUACUUACUUCCAAGUUGACAUAUGAAUAUAGAUCUUUCCCUAGCAUAUGACGUUAGCCAAGAUAAAGGCGAAAUAAGGAAUUGGUGUAGAUCACGAUGACUCUUUUAGGGACAAAAAGUAAAGGUACAAGAUAGGCCCUCCGCAGAGGGAAGGAGUGGUUGUCAUGCGCUUUUGAGGUUUGGAUGUGUGUCCUCUUAGUGUGCAGGAACGUCACUUUAUAUUGCCUCCUGUGAUAAAGAACUUUAUUAUGCAGUCUGUCGCUUUUAUGUCUUCCUCAUCACAGGUUCGUGCAAAGCUUAUUUUCCACACACUAAUAGAUCAUACAUAUUUAGGUAGCAAUUUUUAUUGCUUGCACCGAUGACAACUUACUUGAGGGAUCUUAUUCAAUCCAUAGGUAGGUAUGGUGGACUCUCAUGGCAAAACUGGGUUGAAGGUUUAUGGAUGCACAAGUAGUAUCUCUACUUGGUGCAGAAGUUUUGGCUGAUAUGAGGUGGAAGCAAGCGUCACAUGCUAAGGGAUCUCUAGUCAUAUAAUCAUUGUUCGAAACCAAGCAAACAUAAUUCAUUAUGUUGUCUUCCUUAUCCAACUUCUACUUCUAAGCAUGCAAUAGUUUAGUGAGUGUUCACAAUCAUAGAUGGUGCCCAAGAUGAUAUAUUUAUAAGUGAACCUCUCUUUCUUUAUUACUUCCUAUUAAUUGCAGAAAUGACCAAGGUCUACGUUUGUCCACCCACAACAAGUUUCAAUCAACAUUCUUUUUAUAUGUGAAGCCAUCACUUCCCAUAAGAUCAUUACAUGAUCUUUCAUGCUUUUGUUAUUUUAUCAUUUUUUGAUCAUGGCAUGAGGCAAGGCCAUUAACUAAAACACUCUUUAUUAUAUGGAUCACGAGCUUGAAUACAUCGGGGGUGACACAAAGCAAAACUCAAGCCUAAAACGCUAAGAACUUUAUUCUACUAGAAAAAUAUAAAACCAAAAAGGAUCGAACUAAGAAAAGGUAAAGGCAAAAGAUGUCACGGUGAUACAAUACCGGGGCAAAUACCCCAAGCUUGGCACAAGCCAAGGGGAUUGCCCAUACCCGUGCUUAGUUGUCUUCCUUCGAAGGUGAUGGUGGUGGAGUUGUUGCAGAGGUAUUGAACUUGUUUAAUUUCCUCUUGAGCACAAAAUUCUGCUCCUUCAGAUUGUUAAUUUCCUCUUCAAGCCUCAACACCCUUUGGCAUAAUUCUUGCUUACUCUCCUGCAAAAGACGAGAGGGAUAAACAAAAUCUUAGGCUUCUUCCUUGAGUCACGGAGGCUUGACUUCUUGAACUCCAUAUGUGUGUCUCCAGGUUGGGGCAGAGGAGCCUUCCCUUCAUCGGAACAUGUUCCUUCCUUCCCCUGGGGAUCAUAAUCUUCUUCCUCAUCAGUGGGCCAACCAUAAUGAUCCAGGUCCCCAUAGGCCUUGGGGUUAGCAAGGUAAUCAGCCACAUAGCUCUCCGCCUCUGAAUCCUGAGAAGACAUCUUGCUCUAAAUCUGCAGCAGAAACAGGCUCGAAUCGAAAAUAGAGGAAAAUUGCGUGAUACGAGGGUUAGAACUUUCGGGAGAAUAUAUAAUGAUUUUUUUUUCGACCAGAAGGAGUACUCCGCAAGAAAACAGAGUCUGGGAGGCACACGAGGUGGUCACAAGCCCCUAGGCGCGGCCAGGGGGGUGGUCCGUGCCUGGCAGGCUUGUCGCCUCCUCGUGCGCUUUCCGGACUGCUUUAAAUUUUUCUAUUUUUCUAAAAAUUCCGAAACGGAGAAAAAUUCCUACUGGAAAAGUUUUGGAGUCAGUUUACUUACCGAAUCACAUACCUCUUCGUUUUUGGAGUGUGAAACAAGCUGAUAAAUAUCCCUUAUGUACUCCUCCGGAGUUAUGGUAUUGAUAAUGUUGCUUUCAACAUUUAUGGGAGUACCUGAGAUAUAAUGCUUGAUUCUCUGCCCAUUUACCAUGCUCGGAAAAUUACCUUCCGUGUUGUUGUUCUUGAUGGCACCGAAACGAUAUACUUCCUCAAAAAUGUAAGGACCUUCCCAUUUAGAGAGAAGCUUGUCUGCAAAAAAUAUUAAACGAGAAUUAUAUAGCAAGACAUAAUCAUCUACAUUGAACUCACGUUUUUGCAUCCUUUUAUCAUGCCACCUCUUAACCUUUUCUUUGAACAACUUGGCAUUUUCAUAUGCCUGAGCUCUCCAUUCAUCAAGCGAGCUAAUAUCAAAUAACCUCUUCUCACCAACAAGUUUGAAAUCAAAGUUGAGCUCUUUGAUUUCCCAAUAAGCCUUAUGCUCUAGCUCAAGAGGUAAAUGACAUGCUUUACCGUAAACCAUUUUGUACGGAGACAUGCCCAGGGGAUUCUUAUAAGCAGUUCUAUAAGCCCACAGUGCAUCAUCAAGCUUCUUAUACCAAUUCUUUCUAGACCUAUUGACAGUCUUUUGCAGAAUUAGUUUAAUCUCUCUAUUACUUAGCUCUACUUGACCACUGGACUGAGUGUGAUAGGGAGAUGCAAUUCUAUGGUUGACAUCAUACUUAGCAAGCGUUUUACGGAAAACACCAUGAAUAAAAUGUGAACCACCAUCAAUCAUUAGAUAUCUAGGGACUCCAAAUCUAGGGAAAAUAACUUCUUUAAGCAUCCUGAUAGAAGUGUUGUGAUCAGCACUACUAGUUGGGAUAGCUUGUCCCCACUUAGUAACAUAAUCAACACCAACUAGGAUAUGAGUAUACCCGUUGGAUUUUGGAAAAGGUCCCAUAUAAUCAAAGCCCCAAACAUCAAAUGGUUCAAUGACAAGUAAAUAGUUCAUAGGCAUUUCCUGACGUUUACCGGUAUUACCUAUUCUUUGACAUUCAUCACAAGACAAGACAAACUUACGGGCAUCCAUGAAGAGAGUGGGCCAAUAGAAACCUGAUUGCAAUACCUUGUGUGCAGUUCUGUCUCCUGCAUGGUGUCCUCCGUAAGCCUCGGAGUGACACUUCAGUAGGAUCUAUCCCUGUUCAUGUUCAGGUACACAACGUCUAAUAACACCAUCUACUCAUUCCUUAUAAAGAUGAGGAUCAUCCCAAAAGUAAUGUCUCAAAUCAAAGAAUAAUUUCUUCUUUUGCUAGUAUGUGAAACUAGGUGGUAUAUAUUUGGCAACGAUAUAAUUUGCAUAAUCAGCAUACCACAGUGUACUACGUGAAGUAUUGAUGACAUUCAAUUGCUCAUCAGGAAAGCUAUCAUCAAUAGGUUGUGGGUCAUCAAGAACAUUCUCCAACCUAGACAAGUUAUCUGCUAUGGGGUUCUCAGAACCCUUCCUGUCAACAACAUGCAAAUCAAAUUUUGUAGCAAGAGAACCCAUCUGAUAAGUCUAGGUUUAGCAUCUUUCUUGUCCAUGAGGUAUUUAAUAGCAGCGUGAUCAGUGUGAAUAGUGACUUUGGAACCAACUAUGUAAGAUCUGAACUUUUCACGUGCAAACACGACUACUAAAAAUUUCUUUUCAGUACUAGCAUAGUUUCUUUGGAUAUUGUCUAGAGUUUUACUAGCAUAGUGAAUAACAUUCAAUUUCUUAUCAACUCUUUGUCCUAGGACAACACCAAGAACAUAAUCACUAGCAUCACACAUGAUUUCAAAAGGUAAGUUCCAAUCAGGUGGUUGAACAAUAAGCGCAGUGAUCAAGGCCUUUUAAGUAUUUCGAAGGCUUCCUCAGAAUCAUCGUCAAAAACAAAAGGAAUAUCCUUUUGCAAGAGAUUGGUAAGAGGCCUAGAAAUAUUAGAAAAGUCCUUAAUGAACCUUCUAUAGAAACUAGCGUGACCAAGGAAACUUCUUAUACCUUUGAUAUCUGUAGGGCAUGGCAUUUUUUUGACCGCAUCAACGUUAGCCUUAUCAACUUCAAUACCUCUUUUAGAAAUUUUAUGUCCUAAGACGAUGCCUUCAUUAACCGUAAAUUGGCACUUCUCCCAAUUCAAGACAAGGUUGGUAUCUUUACAUCUCUGCAAGACUCGAUCAAGGUUGCUGAGGCAAUCAUCAAAAGAAGACCCGUCAACGGAGAAGUCAUCCAUGAAAACCUCAACAAUCUUUUCACAAAAGUCACAGAAUAUAGCCAUCAUACAACUUUGAAAGGUAGCAGGUGCAUUACAUAAGCCAAAAGGCAUAUGUCUGUAAGCAAAGGUACCGAAAGGACAGAUGAAAGUGGUUUUCUCCUGAUCGGAUUGUGCAACUGGUAUUUGGGAGAAACCAGAAUAACCAUCUAGAAAGUAGAAGUGUGUGUGUUUAGAUAAUCUUUCUAGCAUUUUGUCGAUAAAAGGCAAAGGGUAAUGAUCUUUCCUAGUGGUUUUAUUCAAUUUCCUAAAAUCGAUCACCAUCCUAUAGCCAGUAAUAAUCCUCUGUGGGAUCAAUUCAUCCUUAUCAUUAGGGACAACGAUAAUACCUCCCUUCUUAGGGACACAAUGCACCGGACUCACCCAAUCACUAUGAGCAACACGAUAGAUAAUACCUGCUUCCAGGAGCUUUAGUAUUUCUUUUCUUACUUCCUCUUUCAUCGUAGGAUUUAAUAUUCGUUGAUGAUUGGCAACUGGUUUGGAAUCGGUUUUAAUUUUGUGCUGGCAUAGAGUGGGACUAAUGCCCUUAAAAUCAUCAAGAGUAUAUCCAAUAGCUGCAUGGUGCUUCCUCAGAGUUUUUAGUAACUUCUUUUCUUCAUGCUUUGAGAGGCUAGCACUAACAAUAACAAGAUAUAUCUCUUUUUCAUCGAGAUACGCAUACUUAAGAGUAUCAGGCAACUAUUUGAGCUCGAACAUAGGAUCACCCUUUGGUGGGCGUGGAUCUCCAAGCAGUUCAACAUGCAAAUUAUUCUUAAGGAUAGGAUAUUUUUCAAAGAUAACUCUAUCUAUCUCAUCCCUUUCAUCCAUAUGCAUAUCAUUUUCAUGCUCAAGCAAGUAUUUCUCUAAAGGAUCAGUAGGAGCUGCGGCAAUAGAAGCUAGGGCAACAAUUUCAUCCUUGCUAGGCAACUCUUUUUCAUGAGGUUGUCUACCAAACUUAGAGAAAUUGAACUCAUGUGACACACCUUCAAAGCCAACAGUGACAGUUUGCUUCUCACAGUCAAUAUGAGCAUUGACAGUAUUGAGGAAGGGUCUGCCAAAUAUGAUGGGACAAAAGCUAUCUUGUGUGGUAGCAAGAACGAGAAAAUAAGUAGGAUACUUCGUUUUACCACACAAGACUUCAACAUCUCUAACAACUCCCAAAGGGCAGAUAGUAUCUCUAUUGGCAAGCUGAAUAGUGACAUCAAUAGGUUCCAUCUCAACAGGUGCAAUCUCGUCUUUAAUUUCAUCAUAUAAGGAUUGAGGUAUUACACUAACACUAGCACCCACGUCACAUAAACCAUGAUAACAAUGAUUUGCUAUCUUAACAGAAACAACAGGCGUGCCAACAACGGGCCUAUGUUUGUCUCUAGCAUGUGGUUUAGCAAUUCUAGCAGCAUCUUCACAGAAGUUAAUAUCAUGGCCAACAUUGUCGGACAGGAGAUCUUAGAUAAUAGCAAUGCUAGGUUCAACUCUAAUUUGAUCAAGGGGUGUAGGUGUUCUAAUGUAGCCCCUACGUAUCACAGUUGAAACUUUAGAAUGAUCCUUUAUCCUAACAGGGAAAGGUGGUGUCUCAAUGUAAGCACUAGGAACAAUAGGAUCAUUAUAAGCAAUGACUUUCUCUUCAACUGGAUUGGGUUUAACUAUAUUGACUUCUAAGGGAGGAUGAUACUUAAAUCACUUCUCUUUAGGGAGAUCAAUAUGAGCAGCAAAUGAUUCACACAAUGAAUCUACCAUCUCAGAGUCAAGUCCAUAUUUAGCGCUAAAAUCACAAAAAGUAUUUGUUUCGACAAAGGAUUUAACGCAAUCAAACUUGAGAUUCAUACCUGACUCCUUACCUUCAUCAAACUCCCAAUCUUUAGAGUUGCGUUUAAUUCUUUCCAAUAAAUUCCAUUUGAAGUCAAUAUCUCUCUUCAUAAAAGAACCGGUACAAGAAGUGUCAAGCAUUGUGCGAUUAUCAUGAGUAAGCCGAGCAUAGAAGUUCUGAAUGAUAAUUUAUCUCAAGAGCUCAUGGUUGGGGCAUGAAUAUAACAUUGAUUUAAGCCUCCCCCAAGCUUGAGCUAUACUUUCUCUGUCACGAGGCCAAAAAUUAUAAAUAUAAUUCCGAUCACGAUGUAGCAAAUGCAUAGGAUAAAACCUUUGAUGAAAUUCCAAUUUCAAUCGGUUGUAGUUCCAUGAUCCAGUAUCAUCACAUAGCCUAUACCAUGUCAAUGCUCUAUCCCUCAAAGAUAAGGGAAAGAACUUCUUCUUGACCUCAUCCUCGGGCAAACCUGCAAGCUUAAAUAAACCACAAACUUCAUCUACAUAGAGUAGAUGCAAGUCGGGAUGUGAUGUUCCAUCUCCUGUAAAAGGAUUAGCCAGCAGUUUCUCAAGCAUACCCGAAGGAAGUUCAUAGCAAAUAUUUUCAGUAGGUGCAGCAGGUUGAGGAGCAACUCCUUGUGCUCCCAGUCGAGGUGAAGAUACCCCGAACAAGCUCCUCAAAGGAUUAGUUUCCAUAGUGACAAGUGACAAUAAAUUUCAGCACACUAUAUAAAUGUUUCCUUACCAAAGGCGCUUCACUCCCCGACAACGGCGCCAGAAAAGAGUCUUGAUGACCCACAAGUGUAGGAGAACUAUCGUAGUCCUUUCGAUAAGUAAGAGUGUCGAACCCAACAAGGAGCAGAAGGAUCUGACAAUUGGUUUUCAGCAAGGUAUUCUCUGCAAGCAUCGAAAUUAUCGGUAACAAAAAGUUGUGUGAUAAGAUAAUUCAUAGCAAGUAGCAAGUAACAAUAGUAACAAUGGUGCAACAAACUGGCCCAAUCCCUUUUGUAUCAAAGGACAAGCCUGGACAAUCUCUUAUAGGAGGUAAAGCGCUCCCGAGGACACACGGGAAUUUCUGUCAAGCUAGUUUUCAUCAUGUUUAUAUGAUUCACGUUCGCUACUUUGAUAGUUUGAUAUGUGGAUGGACCAGUGCUUGGGUGCUGCCCUUACUUGGACAAACCUCCCACUUAUGAUUAACCCCUCUCACAAGCAUCCGCAACUACGAAAUAAGAAUUAAGACAAAGUCUAACCAUAUCAUUAAACUAGUGGAUCCAAAUCAGCCCCUUACGAAGCAACGCAUAAACUAGGGUUUAAGCUUCUGUCACUCUAGAAACCCAUCAUCUACUUACGACUUCCCAAUGCCUUCCUCUAGGCCCAAAUAAUGGUGAAGUGUUAUGUAGUCGACGUUCACAUAACACCACUAGAGGAGACACAACAUACAACACAUCAAAAUAUCGAACGAAUACCAAAUUCACAUGACUACUUAUAGCAAGACUUAUCCCAUGUCCUGAGGAACAAAAGUGACUACUCACAAAGCAUAAUAAUAUUCAUGACCAGAGAGGUUUUGAAUAGCAUCAAGGAUCUGAAGAUAUAAUCUUCCACCGAGUAAUCCAUCUAGCAUCAACUACAAAGAGUAAUUAACACUACUAGCAACCUUACAAGUACCAAUCGGAGUCGCGAGACGGAGAUUGGUUACAAGAGAUGAACUAGGGUUUGGAGAUGAGAUGGUGCUGAUGAAGAUGUUGAUGGUGACGAGUCCCCUCCGAUGAGAGGAGUGUUGGUGAUGACGAUAGCGAUGAUUCCCCCCUCCGGGAGGGAAGUUUCCCCGGCAGGACGACCCUGCCGGAGCUCUAGAUUGGUUCUGCUCAAGUUCCGCUUCGUGGCGGCGGCGAUUCCUCCCGAAAGCCUCCUCUCGAUUUCUGCUGGAUUGAAACCCUCCUUAUAGCAAAAGAGGGGAGCCAGAGGGCCGAUAGGGAGCCCACAAGCCCCCUAGGCGCGGCUAGGGGGGUAGGCCGCGCCUAGCAGGCUUGUGGCCUCCUGGUGGCUCCCCUGUGGUACUUCUUCCGCCCAGUAUUUUUUAUAAAUUCCAAAAUAACUCCUCGUUGAUUUUCACGGCUUUUGGAGUUGCGCAGAAUAGGUAUCUCAAACUUGCUCCUUUUUCAGGCCAGAAUUUCAACUGCCGGCAUUCCCCCUCUUCAUGUAAACCUUAUAAAAUAAGAGAGAAAAGGCAUAAGUAUUGUACCGUGAAGUGUAAUAACAGCCCAAAAAGCGAUAAAUAUCACCAUAAAAGCAUGAUGCAAAAUGGACGUAUAAGUAUGCAAGAUCUAGCGAUCCAUUUAUAGACUGGUGCAAGCAUCUCGGAGUUAGAAUAAGCGCUUUGAUAAGGUGAUCAAGGCAUUUGGGUUUAUAGAAGUUGUUGGAGAAUCUUGUAUAUACCAGAAAGUGAGUGGGAGCUCUGUAGCAUUUCUAAUAUUAUAUGUGGAUGACAUAUUGCUGAUUGGAAACAAUGUGGAGUUUUUAGAGAGCGUAAAGGAUUACUUGAACAAAUAUUUUUGAAUGAAAGACCUAGGAGAAGUUGGUUACAUAUUAGGCAUAAAGAUCUAUAGAGAUAGAUCGAGGCGCCUAAUAGGACUUUCACAAAGCACAUACCUUGAUAAAGUUUUGAAAAAGUUCAAAAAUGGAGAAAUCCAAGAAGGGGUUGUUGCCAGUGUUACAAGGUAUAAAGUUGAGUAAGACUCAGUGUCCAGUAAAUGCAGAAGAUAGAGAAAAGAUGAGUAUCGUCCCCUAUGAUUCAGCCAUAGGGUAUAUCAUGUAUGCAAUGCUGUGCACAAGACCAGACGUCAGCCUGGCCAUAAGUAUGGCAGGCAGGUUUCAAAGUGAUCCACGAGUGGAAUACUGGGCGGCGGUCAAGAAUUUUCUGAAGUCCGUGAAAAGGAGUAAGGAAAUGUUUCUCGUUUAUGGAGGUGACGAAGAGCUCGUCGUAAAGGGUUACGUCGCUUUGACACUGAUCCGGAUGACUCUAAGUCUCAAACCGGAUACGUAUUUAUUCUCAAUGGGGGUGCGGUAAGCUGGUGCAGUUCCAAGCAAAGCAUCGUAGCAGAUUCUACAUGUGAAGCGGAGUACAUGGCUGCCUCGGAGGCGGUAAGGAGGGUGUCUCGAUAAAGCAGUUCAUGACAGAUCUUGGAGUUGUGGCGAGUGCACUAAAUCCAAUAACUCUAUUCUGUGACAACACUGGUGCCAUUGCUCUAGCCAAGGAACCAAGGUUUCACAAGAAGACCAGACACAUCAAACGAAGCUUCAACCUCAUCCGCGACUAUGUUGAAGGACAUGACGUAAAUAUUUGCAAAGUGCACACGGAUCUGAAUAUUGCAGAUCCACUGACUAAACCUCUUCCAUGAGCGAAGCAUGAUCAACACCAGAACUGUAUGGGUGUUAGAUUCAUUCCAAUGUAAAUCACAUAGCGAUGUGAGACUAGAUUAUUGACUCUAGUGCAAGUGGGAGACUGUUGGAAAUAUGCCCUAGAGGCAAUGAUAAAAUAGUUAUUAUUAUAUUUCCUGUUUGAAGAUAAUCGUUUAUUAUCCAUGCUAUAAUUGUAUUGAAUGAAAACAUAAAUGCAUGUGUGGAUAUAUAGACAAAACUAUGUCCCUAGUAAGCCUCUAGUUGACUAGCGAGUUGAUCAAGGAUGGUUAAGGUUUUCUGACCAUAUGCAAGUGUUGUCACUUGAUGACUGGAUCACAUCAUUGGGAGAAUGAUGUGAUGAACAAGACCCAAACUAUAAAUGUGGCAUGUGAUCGUGUCAUUCUGUUGCUAUUGUUUUCUACGUGUCAAGUAUUCAUUCCUAUGACCAUGAGAUCAUGUAACUCACUGACACCGGAGGAAUAACUUGUGUGUAUCAAAUGUUGCAACGUUACUCGGUGAUUAUAAAGGUGCUCUACAGGUAUCUCCAAAGGUGUGCGUUGAGUUAGCAUGGAUCAAGACUGGGAUUUUUCACUCCGUGUGACAGAGAGGUAUCUCGGGGUCCACCCGGUAAUACAACAUCACAUAUAAGCCUUGUAAGCAAUGUGGCUAAAGUGUUAGUCACGGGAUCUUGUAUUACGGAACGAGUAAAGAGACUUGCCGGUAACGAUAUUGAAACAGGUAUAGGGAUACCGAUGAUCAAAUCUCGAGCAAGUAACAUACCAAAGGAUAAAUGGAAUGGUAUACGGGAUUAUAUGAAUCCUUGACACAGAGGUUCAACCAAUAAGAUCUUCGUAGAAUAUGUAGGAUCCAAUAUGGACAUCCAGGUCCCACUGUUGGAUAUUGACUGAGGAGUGUCUCAGGUCAUGUCUGCAUAGUUCUCGAACCCGUAGGUUCUGCGCACUUAAGGUUCGGUGACGUUUCGGUAUAGUUGAGUUAUAGGUGUUGGUGACCGAAGGUUUGUUCGGAGUCUCGGAUGAGAUCACGGACGUCACGACGGUUUCCGUAAUGGUCCGGAAAUGAAGAUUGAUACAUACGAUUGUUUCAUUUGGCCUCCGGAAAGAUUUCGGGCAUCGCCGGCUGUGUACCGGGAGUGAUGAAUGGGUUCCAGGUUUUUACCGGGAGGGGGCCACCCAACCGGGGGAGUACCUAAUAGCCCAUGGGUGAGGCCAUCCAAAUAGGGCUAUUUCGGCCAAGAGGGAGAAGAAAAAAAGAGGAGGUGGGAAGGAAGGAAGGGACUCCUCCUUCCCAAACCGAAUUGGAGUGGGAGUCCCUCCUCCUCCACUCGGCCGACGCCCUAGGGGCUCUCUUGAGCCCCAAGGCUAGCCCCUCCCCUCCUCUUAUAUAUACUAGGGGUUUUAGGAUUUUUGAGACUCAACUUCGCCACGUGCAACCCUAAACCUCUACUUCGUAGUUCUUCCUCUAGAUCGGUUUUCUGCGGAGCUCGGGCGGAGCACUGCUUGAAUAGAUCAUCACCAUCACCGGCGCGCCGUCAGCUGCCAGGGAACUCAUCUACUUCCCCGUCUCUCUUGCCAGAUCAAGAAGUCGGAGAUCAUCAUCGAGGUGUACGUGUGCUGAACGCGGAGGUGGGGACCGUUCGGUGCUAGAUAGGGACGGAUCGUGGGACGAUGGUGAUUUGAAUCACGAAGCUGUUCCACUACAUCAACCCCGUUUCUUAACGCUUCCCGCUUAGCGAUCUACAAGGGUAUGUGGAUCCGAUAUCCCUCUCGUAGAUGAACAUCACCAUGAUAGGUCUUCGUGUGCAUAAGAAUUUUUUUUGUUUCCCAUGCAAUGUUCCCAACAAAACUAUCAUCAAUAGGUAGUGGGUCAUCAAGAACAUUUUCUAACCUAGACAAGUUAUCAGCAAUGGGGUUCUCAACUCCUUUCCUAUCAGUGACGUGUAAAUGAAAUUCUUGUAGCAAGAGAACCCACCUAAUGAGUGUAGGUUUAGCAUCUUUCUUUUCCGUAAGAUAUUUUAUAUCACCAUGAUCAGUGUGAACAAUUACUUGGGAAUCAACAAUAUAAGAUCUGAAUAUAUCACAAGCAAACACAAGUGCUAAAAAAAUCUUUUCCACUGGUAGCAUAAGUCCUUUGCGCACUGUCUAGAGAUUUACUAGCAUAAUGGAUGACAUUUAAUUUUUUAUCAACUCUUUUUCCUAGAACAGCACCAACAACAUAGUCACUAGCAUCACACAUAAUUUCAAAAGGAAAGUUCCAAUCAGGUGGUUGAACAAUGGGUGCAGUGGUCAAGUCUUUCUUAAGUGUUUCAAAGACUUCUACACAAUCAUCAUCAAAAACAAAUGGAACAUCCUUUUGUAAAAUAUUUGUAAGAGGCCUAGAAAUUUUAGAGAAGUCUUUAAUAAACCACCUAUAGAAACCAAUAUGACCAAGGAAACUAUGAAUACCUUUGAUAUCUUUAGGACACGACAUUUUCUCAAUUGCAUCAACUUUAGCUUUAUCCACCUCAAUGCCUCGUUCAGAAAUUUUAUUACCCAAGACAAUACCUUCAUUAACCAUAAAGUGGCACUUCUCCCAAUUCAAAAGAUUAGUUUUCUCACAUCUCUACAAAACUCGAUCAAGUUUACUCAAGUAAUCAUCAAAAGAAGUUCCAUAAAAAGAAACAUCAUCCAUGAAAACCUCAUCAAUCUUUUCAUAAAAAUCAGAGAAUAUAACACCCAUACAUCUUUGAAAGGUAGCAGGUGCAUUGCAUAAACCAAAAGGCAUGCGUCUAUAAGCAUAAGUUCAAAAAGGACAAGUAAAAGUGGUUUUCUCUUGAUCAGAUUGUGAAACAUGUAUUUGAGAGAAACCUGAAUAUCCAUCUAGGAAGCAAAAAUGUGUGUGCGUAGAGAGUCUUUCUAGUAUUUUAUAGGUAAAAGGUAGAGGGUAAUGAUCCUUUCUAGUUGCUUUGUUUAAUUUUCUAAAAUUAAUUACCAUUCUACAAUGAGUGACAAUUUUUGGUGGAAUAAGUUCACUCUUAUCAUUAGGACUAACAAUAAUACCUCCUUUCUUAGGGACACAAUGAACGGGGCUUACCCAUCUACUAUCAGCUACCGUAUAGAUUAUACCUGCUUCCAGAAGCUUUAACAUUUCAGUUCUUACAACUUCUUUCAUUUUAGGAUUCAACAGACGUUGGUGAUCAACAACGGGUUUAGCAUCAGGUUCCAUAUUAAUAUUGUGCUGACAUAGAGUGGGAAUAAUGCCCUUAUGGUCAUCAAGAGUACAUCCAAUAGGAGCUCAGUGCUUCUUCAGAACUUUCAAUAAUCUUUCUUCUUCAUGUUCUAUUAGGUUAGCACUAAUAAUAACAGAAUUAUAUCUUCUUUUCAUCAAGAUAAGCAUAUUUCAAAGUAUCAGGCAAUUGUUUCAAUUCAAACACAGGAUCACCCUUAGGUGGAGGAGGACCUCCUAGAGUUUCAAUAGGAAAAAUGCGUCUAAGCAGAGGUUGUUGUUAAAAGAAGAUGUUAUCUAUUUGAUUUCUUUCAUGCAUAUGCAUAUCAUUUUCAUGGUGUAGCAAAUAGUGUUAUAAAUAAUCAGUAGGAGGCACGACAAUAGAAGCAAGAUCAAUUAUCUCACCCUUAUUAGGAAAUUCUUUCUUAUGAUGUUUUCUAUUAAACUUGGAAAAAUUAAACUCAUGAGAAUCACCACCAAAAUUAACAUUGACACUUUGUUUAUGGCAAUCUAUAGUAGCAUUAACGGUGUUCAAGAAAGGUCUACCAAAGAUAAGGGGACAAAAUUCAUCUUGUGGGGAACCAAGGACGACAAUAAAAUUAGUAGGAUAUUUUGUUUUCCCACACAAGACUUCAACAUCUCUAACAAUCCCAAGUGGUGCGAUGGUGUCUCUAUUAGCAAGUUUAAUAGUAACAUCUAUCUCUUCUAUUUCAGUGGGUGCUAUUUCAUCCAUAAUUUUUUGAUACAAAGUAAAUGGAAUAGCACUUACUCUAGCCCCUAUAUAACAUAAACCAUGGUAACAAUGAUUUCCUAUUUUAACUUAAAGCACAGGCAUGCCAACAACGAGUAUAUAUUUUAUCUUUCCCAUUAGGGUUAGCAAUUCAAGCAGUUUCACCAUAGAAGUACAUAACAUGACCAUCAAUAUAUUAUUCCAAGAAAUAUUUAACCAUAGCAACAUUAGGUUGUACCUUAAGUAGUUCAGAAGGAUUAGGUGCUUUGAUAUCACUUCUUCCAACCACAGUUGAAACCUUAGCAUGUUAUUUUAUCUUAACAGGAAAAAAGAGGUUUUUCAUUGUAAGCGGUAGGGACAACUGGGUCAACAUUAUAAAUGAUAGUUUCUUCUUUGGCUAUUAUUGGUUCUUUAAUAUGGGAUGAUAUUUAAACCACUUCUCCUUAGGGAGAUAAACAUUAGUAGGAAAUGAUUUACAGAACUAUCAUUUAUCUAUUAUCUUAGAGUCAAGUCCAUAUUUAGUGCUAAACUUUUGAAAAGCAUUGAUAUCUAGAAAAGAUUUAACACAAUCAUACUUAAGAUUAAUACCUGACUCUUUACCUUCGUCGAGUUCCCAAUCUUCAAAUUUGCGUGUAAUUCUUCCUAAGAGAUCCCACCUGAAUUCAAUAGUAUUCUUCAUAAAAUAACUAGUACAAGAAGCGUCGAGCAUGGUUUGAUUAUUACAAGAAAGCCAAGCAUAAAAGUUUUGAAUAAUAAUUUCUCUCGAGAGCUCAUGAUUGGGGUAUGAAUAUAACAUUGACUUAAGCCUCCCCCAGAUACUUCAUCCUUCAUGAGGCCAAAAAAUAUAAAUAUAAUUCCGAUCACGAUGAACUAGAUGCAUAGGAUAAUUUUUUGAUGAAAUUCCAUUUGCAAUCGAUUCCAGUUCCAUGAUCCAAUAUCAUCACAUAGCAUAUACCAUGCGAAUGCUUUUCCCUUUAAUGAUAAAGAGAAAACCUUCCUCUUAACUUCAUCUCUGGGUAGACCUGCAAGCUUAAAUAAUCCACAAAUUUCAUCCACAUAUAUCAAGUGCUUAUCACGAUGUUCACUUCCAUCUCCUGCAUAAGGAUUAGCUAGCAGUUUUCUAUCAUACCCGAAGGAAUUUCAUAACUAAUAUUUCCAGUAGGUGCAGUUGGCUGAGGGGAAACUAAUUGUGCUUCCUGUCGAGGUGAACAUACCCCGAACAAACCAUUCAAAGGAUUGUUUUCCAUAGUAGCAAGUGACAAUAAAAUUCAUCACGUCGCAAUAAAUUUUCCUUACUGAUUUCCACUUACCAAGAGCACUUCACUCCCCGGCAACGGCACCAGAAAAGAGUAUUGAUGACCUACACGUAUAGGGGAUCAAUCGUAGUCCUUUCGGUAAGUAAGAAUGUUGAACCCAAUAAGGAGCACAAGGAAAUGACAAGUGGUUUUCAGCGAGGUAAUUUCUGCAAGCAUUGAAAUAGCGGUAACAAGUUGUUUGAUAGCAAGAUAGUUCUAACAAGUAACUAGUAGCAAGAGUAACAAUAAGUGAAGCAAUGUAGCCCAAUCAUUUUGUGGCAAAGGACAUGCCAAAGUGGUUUCUUAUAAUAGGUAAAGCGUUCUUGAGGGCACACGGGAAUUUCAUCUAGUCACUUUCACUAUGAUAGCUUAAUUCGUGUUUGAUACUUUGAUAGUAUGAUAUGUGGGUGGACCAGUGCUUAGGUGAUGUUCUUACUUGAACAAACCUCCUACUUAUGAUUAACUCCCUCGCAAUCAUCCACAACUAAGAGAAAAGUAUUAAGAUAAAUAUCUAACCAUACCAUUAAACUUUUGGAUCCAAAUCGGUCUCUUACAAAGUAGCGCAUAAACUAGGGUUUAAGCUUGUGUCCCUCUAGCAACCCAUCAUCUAAUAACUACUCCACAAUGCAUUCCCUUAGUCCCAAAUAUGGUCAAGUGUCAUGUAGUCGACGUUCACAUGGCACCACUAAAGGAACCACAACAUACAUACCAUCAACAUGUUGAACACAUAUCAAGUGCACAUGAUUACUUGCAACAUGAUUUCUCCCGUGGCCUCAAGAACAAAAAUAGCUCCUCACAAAUGAUAAAUAUGCUCAAGAUCAGAGGAGUAUUAAUUUGCAUAAAGGACCUGAACAUUUUUUCUUCCACCAAAUAAACCAUAUAGUAAUCAACUAUAAGAUGUAAGCAACACUACUAGCCAUUCACAAGCAACAAUCUAAGGUUCCAGUGCCAAAAUUGAACACAAGAGAUGAACUAGGGUUUGAGAGGAGAUGGUGUUGUUGAAGAUGUUGAUGAAGAUUAUCCUCCCCAAGAUGAGAGGGUUGUUGGUGAUGACGAUGACGGUGAUUUCCCCCUUCGGGAGGGAAGUUCCCCUAGAGGAAUCGCUCCGCUAGAGGGCGAAAGUGCUCCUGCCCAAGUUCGGCCUUGAGAUGGCGGUGCUUCGUUCCAAAAGUCCUCCUCUAUAUUUUUUAGGUCAAAAACAAAUAUAGACCAGAAGGGGGGCACUGGAGGUGGGCAUUGCUGAGCACGACCCACCAGGGUGCACCCAAGGGGCCUCAUGCACCCUGGUGUCCUGUGCUCACCACGUGCUGCCCCCUCCGGUAGCUCUUUGCUCCAUUAUUUUUAAAUAUUCCACAAAAAUUCUCCGUGAACUUUCAGAUCAUUUGGAGUUGCGCAGAGUAGGUAACUUUAUGUAGCUUUUUCAGGUCCAGAUUUCCAGCUACCGGUAUUCAUCCCUUUUGUGCAAACAUUGCAUAUUAUGAGAGAAAAUGCAUUAGAAAUACUCACAAAAGAAUUAUUAUGCAUAAUAACAUUAUAAAUAACAAUAGGAAAACAUGAUGCAAAAUGGACGUAUCACAUAUGUUUGCUUUUAUUUAUUGUUUCUUCCCUUUCUUCUCUGUGAUAGAGACCGAGACUGACGGUGCCGACGACCAGUCCUGUGCAGUAGAGCAACAAGGCAAGAAAAUCCCCUUGAUGAGUCCUAUAUCGCCCAUUCUUUCUCCCUCAUGCUUGCAUUAGAUUUUUCUACUGUUGUAGAUAGCUGCAAUUAUGAUGCAUAGACUAUUUUUCAUGAACUGAUAAUUUACUCUACUGCACAUUAAAUGCUUAGUAUAGGUGAAGUAGUAAUCCCCAUUGACCCCUUAGUCCUAGUUGCCCCGCUUUAUCAUCAAGUCUCGAUCCACCGAUCGACGAGCCAAGACCAGUCACAUCACUUCACACCCCCCUUGAUGUACGACGCUGCAGAGCUACUAUGGAGUACCAAAGGUGACACCCCGUUACACACUCAGUAUGUUAGCUCUGUAGUGUAGUUAACCGGCGGUGGUUCACGGACGGCGAUUCCUCCUACACCACUUCCGAUAACGACUAUGUUGUACAACCUCUCAAGCGUGGACCAUCGAGAUUGAAUCCUCCCUGGUCACCUUGACAGAUACAUUGUUCCAAAUCCAUCGAGGAUGAUACCUCGGAUCCCUCUACAGCCACACAGUUACUUGACCUUACUACUAGGAACUUGAUAAGCUGUGUUGCGGUUGGAUUCCCAUGUGGUUGUGACGAGGCAUGCGCUCAGCAUUCUUGGCCCUUGCCACACAUCCUUGAGACGGGGCUACAGGACCACAUAUCGUGGAUUAUUGAUCGUCGCCACAUAUCGUGAGUUGGUCUCGGACCUUUUCGCACUAACCUUCACGUGGGAGACGUUAUGGGUAGUCGACGUCUUAGUAUCAGCUGAAGCUCUUCAGACGUCCGCAAUGGAGCGGCGUGCGCCCGACUGGUCCGCGUAAGCCUUGUUGUUGUAUAAGAGAUGCAAGGACUAACCUCGGUCGCCCACACAUCAUGUAGGAGUGCAAAGGGUGAUGGGCCCAUGACCCCUGCGUGCUUAGGAUUUAGAUCGGUGUGCUGGCCUCUCUGUUGUGCCUAGGUAGGGUUGCGACAUAUUGAUGCUCCAAUGUCGGGCAUGACCCAGGAAAGUGUGUCCGGCCAGAGUUUAUCAAGCGUGUUGGGUAAGUUGGUGCACCACUUCAGGGAUGAAAAUUAACUAUUCGAAUAGCCGUUUCCACGGUUAUAGGAUGAUUUUGAAUUGUAUCCUCAUCUAAUACAACUACAACUAUUACUUAACUCGAACGUUUGCUCCGAGGUUGCUUUCUCGCAGGGAGUCGAGGAAGAAUCUGUGGGCGUGACUUAAUUAAAUUUGCUGCAACGAUAUGAUUAUAAAAUUGUGAUACUUGCUCUAUGCUCUUCUAAUGCUGCAAGACACUGAAGAUGCUAGUCUACGAUAGGACUAGUUCCUCUCUUUAUUCUCGCAUUGUUGUAGUUAGUCCAUAUAUAACCCCCUUUCCUUUGAUAGUGAUGCAUACUUAACAUAGUUCUGAUGUCAGUCAUGCGAGUACUUUGGAUGAGUACUCACAAUUGCUUUGCUCCCCAUUUCCCCUUGAUACGAUUGCCGCAACCAGAUGAUGGAUCCCAGGAGAUGGUGUUUCCCGCGAGUGACGACUACUACCCUGAUGGUGCCUAUUAAUACGUGGAGGUCACUAACGACCAGGAGUAGUUCAGGAGGCUCCCAGGCAGGAGGCCUCGCCUCUUUCGAUCUAUGUAUAUUUUGUGCUAGCCUUCUCUAAGGCAUUACCUUGUUUUAUGUGUGCACUCAGAUAUUUGUUGCUUCCGCUGACUCGUUUGUUCUCGAGCUUCUGUAUUCGAGCUUGUAAUAUGAAGCUUGUAUGUUUUUAUUUGUGUUUAGAGUUGUGUUGUGAUAUCUUCCCACGACUCCUUGAGCUUGGUCAUACGCACUUGCUUGCAUGAUUAGCGUAUGAUCAAAUCGAGGGCGUCACAAGCCCCUCAAUGCAACCGAAAGCAGUUAGAUCAAUCAUGUGGUAGUCAUGAGACUUUAGGUCUUGGAAUUUUUUAUCUGCAAUAUUUAUUAUUACCUUCAUAUUCAACUUGAAGCCAGACGGGACCUUGAUACUGAGCACACAUUCAAAAAAGAUUUCCUUCUCUGCUUUGGUAAGAGCAUAGCUCGAAGGACCUUGAUACUGCUUUGGAUGCAUGCCAUAUUUUUCGUUCAUAUGUUUCUUGUCCUCCCGUGCCUCCGAUGCAUCUUUUAUCUUCCCAUACAUGCCCAAGAAGCCUACCAGGUUCACACAAACAGUCUUCCUCAUGUGCAUCAUGUUGAUUGCAGAGCGGAUCUCUAGGUCUGUACAAUAAGGUAGGUCCCAAAAUAUAGACUUCUUCCACAUGGGUGUGUUUCCCUCAGCAUCCUUCGGAACAGAUUGUCCGGCAGGGCCCUUUCCAAAGAUUACAUGUAAAUACUUGACCAUAUCAAAUAUAACAUCAUCUAUACGGAGGACAUGCUUCUUUCGGUGAUCUGCCUCACCUUUGUAAUGCUUGCCUUUCUUUCUUGAGUGAUGCCUGCUCGGAGCAAAUGGAAGAUGUCCCAGGUACACAUUCUUCUUACAUUUGUCCAAAUACAUACUUUCAGUCUCAGCUAAACAGUGUGUGCCGAUGACGAGAUGAUGUAUAUACUUCUCGCUCCUCGUUGGUUACCCCAAGUGGAAGGUUGAGAUGUAGUGAGCAGCAAGUUUUCCCUCACACAAAGACUGUAAGAUUUAUCGAACCAGGAGGGCUCCUAGGAUCAACAAGUAGGUGUCUUCCACCCUUGCGCUA
RNAcentral lists this long non-coding RNA (46397 nucleotides) under Hordeum vulgare. Its description in RNAcentral is "long non-coding RNA (HVUL_LNC004467)". Lineage: Eukaryota; Viridiplantae; Streptophyta; Magnoliopsida; Poales; Poaceae. The record is from RNAcentral.